CCCUCCAAUUACAACUGAUGGAAAUAAGCUUCUCAUGUUUUGACAACUCACAAAUACUACUUUUGUAAUGAGGCACGGGAACAGAAAAGUUGCAUUGUCAAUCAUGAGGUCAUAAAACCAAGCCUCUUUAAUUAACCCUGACUCUGAUCUUGCAUAAUUUAGAUCCUCGAGUGAAGAGAAACAAGGUCGUCCUACAGUAACCUUGCAUGCAAUUAGUGAACAUCUCUGUCCGCGACGGAAAACUCUGAAAUCGUGUAGAUCACGGAAGUUGCAUUCCAAAGUUUCCAAAUGAUAUAAUGUGGAAACUUCAUCUCCUCUAACUGAGAGAACAACUUCAGAUUUCUGAUGAAGCUUGAGGAACUGUAAUUUUGAGAGUUGGGGUAAAAUACCCGACCGUAAAACACGCACCCCACUUCCAUCAAGAUUAAGAUACCUUAGAUCCUCCAGCCGUUCCAUUCCCUCGGGCAAAUCUUCAAGUCCAGUGUAACUGAGAUCCAACUUCUCCAAUGCCUUAAGCUUUGCUAAUGAUGGUACAUAACUCAGCUUUGCACACCAUCCCAGCAACAAUGCAGUUAGACUCGUCAGAUGACAAAUAGAAUCCGGCAACUUCUCUAUAUCUGUGUCGGAAAGAUCAAGAACCUUGAGUCCGAUGAGGUGCUGGAAAAAAGAUUCCUCAACCAAAUCCAAUUUGUAGUUUCUGCAUAACAAUAAUGUUGAGAGACGGGGGCACAUUGGUGAAAAGUCUGUUGGAAUAUUCUCGAUUCUAUUUUCCAUGAGUGAAGCUCUUAACAGUUCCUCUCUCCACAAUCUUACAUCGGGUAAUUCUGUUAGUUGUGCACCUGCUUGAACCAUAGCCCCCCCACUUUCGUUCAAUAUUUUCCAAGCCAUAUCCCAAAUCAAAUCAUGCAUCUUGACAUAUCUGUAAUCUUCAUCGUCCCUGGAACCUUCUAAUAAGCUGGCAUCUUCAAGUUGAUCAAGCAUGGUAUGGCCCCUAUCAAAUCGUGCAUGCCUUCGCCCCAUUUCUUUGACUAUACCCUCGUCAAUCAAAUACUCUAUCAAGUCCUCUCUCAAGAUGAUCUUGCCUUUUGGAAAUAGUGUGAUAUGUAAGAAGAACUCUUGAAGUGCUGAAUCGUUCAACUGAGCAUAGCUAAAUUUCAAUACUCGAAAUACAUUGGCUUCCAUCUCACCUGGUCCAACUUCUAAUCUUCUCAGUUUUAGCAAUGCAUCUCUCCAACGAUAUUCACCAUCCACUCCCUUCAUGCUUCGAGCCAUUGUCAUGAUUCCAAGGGGCAAACAAGCACACUCCUUCACAAUAGACUCUGCGAUCUCAGGAUAAAGUGUACCACCACGCCCUAAUCUGUAUAUGAACAAAUCCCAAGCCUCGCCCUCAGAAAGAGACUCCACUUUGAUUAUCCUUUGGCAAUCCAUUUUUCGACAUAUCUCCGAUGAUCUUGUUGUGAGAAGCAACUUCCACCCGUCUGUUCUAAGAGGUAUUCCCACUUCGUCAGGAAGAAAAUGACCCCACAAAUUAUCAAGAAUUAAAACACCUUUUAUCACACUCAAUGCUGUCCAUAGCUCCCUGGCUCUAAUCAUCACAUCUUUUUCAUUCUGAAGACAUAAACCAAAAGCAUUGGCAAUGAGAUCCUGCAGUGCGUGAACGCUAAAUUCUCGAGAGUCAGUAAUCCAAUAGACAGGGAAAAAUGUCAGGUUUCUCUUGAAGUUGAUCAAGGAUAUGCGUAGCCAAAGUUGUCUUUCCGACCCCCCCCAUCCCGUAAAUGCCAAUGCAUGAGACCUCAUCAUUCAACAACCAAGAGCAGACAUCCUCCUUAUUUCUUUUAAACGCUUGGCCCACCAUCUUCGUUGUCAGAUCAUAUCUUGUAGUCCUAGGACGCUUAUGUACAGGCCUUUUAGAAGAGCUUCCUCUCACAACAAAAGACUGUUCUUUGUCUAGUCUCGGGUUCAUCUGGCAUAAGAACGACAGGAGCUCUAGGUUCCUCGACAAGCUCAGUCUCCCCCCCAAUCAGAAAACCCUUCCGUCCUCGUUCAUCCGAAAGAGGUUGUUCUUCUUGUUCCAUUUCUAAGCCCCGCAAAGCAGUUGACGCUGCAUUAAUUCCCUCGUUAUUGCUUGAACUUGGCACACUCUUAUCUACAGGCAUUUUAGAACAGCUUCCUCUCUCAGUAACAGCCUGCAUCAACUCCCGACUCUCUAUACCACUGCUUAACUCAACAUCCCUCGUCAAUGAAGAUGUGAUGUUAUUCAUAUCCGUUUCAAAUGCUUGAACUGCUGGCUCUAUUCCCAAUCCAGUCUCAGGUGCAUGCUAGGAACCAUGGUCUCCUCAGGAAGCACAAUCUCUUCCCAAUUCAAGCUAUCCAUCCAUGAAAAAUCAUCCAAAAGAGACUGUCCUUGUUGUUGCAUUUCUAAAUCUUGCGCAGGAUCUGAAUCUGCAGUAACUAUUAUAUUAUUGCUUGAACUUGGCAUGCUCCCACGCAUUCUGUCAGGAAGCUUAUCAAACGCUGCUCGUUGAACAUCUGGAGUUACUUUUUCACAAAUUUUAACACCACCACCUCCAACUCUUUCCAGAUGAUAUUUCAUCCUUGUAGUGGAAGUACUUCCAGCCAAUGUCUUCUCACAAAAAAUGCACUUCAAUAAACCACCAUCCACUUUCUCAAAAUAACUCUGAAAUGGAUCACUUCCUCCAGCCAUUUUUUCUUCUGUGUCCCUACAUACAGACAUAACAAAGAACUUUCAGAAUAUUGAAUUAAAAUGGAACUUAAACUAAUUGAAAAAAAGAAGAAGCUAAGUUUAAGAUAAAAAGAAAAUUGAUUACAGGUGUUUCACUGUCUAAACCAAAGUCAAGUUAAACCACUCCAAAGAUCAAAGUGUUCUUUUCUUUUUACUUUCCCAAUAAUUCUACAACUGGUCAUAUCAGUAAUUUAAUAACCAGUAUGUUUCUUUUUGCUUAGAAGAAUCAAACUACAUGAGUUGGAAAAGAAAUGGUAUGAAAAAAGAGCUAAAAUUAAUCAAACUUAAUUACCUGAACAGCAGAAGCAGCAAGAUGUUAUCCAAUGGUCUGAUUAAAUCAGAAAAAAAGAAGAUGGACGGGGAAGAGUAAGUGUGUUGGAGACGAGUGAUAGAGCUUCGGCUUGCGUGGUUGUGGAUAAGGAUAGAUUCAGACAGUCAGAGAAGCAGAUGACAGUGAAAAAAAGUUAAAUUGACUUCUGUCGUUCAUGGAUGUCAUAUGGACAUGUUGUUGGUCUUCCAGGAAGCGGAUCCGGCGAGGGGUGCUCUAGUGAAGGCGUGGGGGUAGGCGGUGGCUGAUGAUAGUCUCCUCGUGUGGUGGACAGCACGCCAGCUUUGCAAACGAUGAGAAAGAGCACGAUCCACCACAAAACCGCAGAAGAGAAAGCAGCAGGCCGAGAGAAGAAAAGGGAGCAGGAGCAGAGUUGACCGAGAGAGAAGUAGAGCUUGUUAGAGCAUCUAUUAAAUAGCCGAAUGGAAAAAACGGGUUUUUAAAUAGUAUAAAUAUAACUUUUUUAAUUAUAUGUAUUUCAAUAAUAAAAAAUUAAUUAUGUUUUAAUAUAUUUUAUGUUAAAUUAAUUUUAAUAUAAUUAUAUAACUAAUUUAGAUAUUUUAUAUAUAAUAUAAUUAUGAUGUUAUUAAUUAUAUAAUUAAUAUGAGUAGUUUAUAAAAGUAAUAUAAAAUUAAUGAAGUAAUAUGAAAGUUAAAAGAUAUAAUUUAAAAUUGAAUUUAAAAUUUAUUUAUAUGAAUAUCUUUAAUUUUAAGUUUUAUAUGUUAUUGUUAAAUAUUUAAUUUCUUAAAAAGUAAAUUCAAAUUCAAACUUUGAAAAAAUGAUCGCCAACAUUUUAAAUUUUAAAAUUUUAAAUUUUGAAAAAAUUACCGCCAACAUUCUAAGAUUUUACAAUUUGAAAAAAUAAUCCAUCUAUAAAUAUUCUCAUAUACCUUAACAUUUUUUCUCGUCAUUUUCUUCUCUCUAAUCUUUGUUAUAUUUCAUUAAAAUUCAUCAUGAAUCAUUCUAAUUUUAAUUUUUAUGAUGCUUUUGAUUUUGAUGAUGACACUCUUGUGUUUGUUUUUCAAGUUGCUACUGUUGUGGUUGCUGAAGAAGAAUCGAAUAAUCAAGGGUGGAGAACAGGGUAUCGUGCCUCUAUUUCUGGUCACAAUAUUGUCAAUCGUAAUAGAAAGGAAGGUGAGUUAAGGUUAUAUAAUGAUAAUUUUGCAGAAAAUCCUAAAUUCACUGAAAGUCAAUUUCGAAGAAGAUUUAGGAUGAGUCGUCGUCUUUUUCUUCGGAUCGCAAAUGCAGUGGAAGCUUACAAUCCAUAUUUCAAACAAAGAACAAAUGCUCUUGGUGUUCUUGGUUUAUCUUGCCUUCAAAAGGUAACUGCAGCUCAUAAAAUACUUGCAUAUGGUAUUCCUGUAGAUCUUAUUGAUGAAUAUCUUCGAAUUGGAGAAACCACUGAAAUAGAAAGUCUUAGAGCUUUCGUCAAAGCAAUCGUAGAAGUUUUUGGUGAUUGGUAUCUAAGGACACCAAACAAGGUCGAUAUUUGUCGAUUAUUAUCAAUUGGAGAGCAACGUGGAUUUCUAGGGAUGUUAGGGAGCAUUGAUUAUAUGCAUUGGAAAUGGAAGAAAUGCCCAAUUGCAUGGCCUAGGAUGUAUACUGGUCAUUGUCGUGAACCAACUAUAAUUCUAGAGGCGAUGGCUUCACAAGAUCUUUGGAUAUGACAUGCCUUUUUUGGAAUCCCUGGAUCAUUAAAUGAUAUUAAUGUUCUUGAUCGGUCACCUAUCUUUGCUGCACUUGCUGAAGGUUGUACUGCUCAUGUCAAUUAUACAAUUAAUGGGCAUGAAUAUACAAUGGGAUACUAUUUAGCACAUGAGAUUUAUCAUAAUUGGUCAACCUUUGUUAAGACAAUCUCAAGACCAUUAGGAGCAAAGAGAAAAUAUUUUACAAGCAAGCAAGAGUCUGCAAGAAAAGAUGUGGAGCGGGCAUUUGAGGUGCUCCAAUCUCGUUUUGCAAUUGUACGUGGACCUGUUCGAUACUGGGAUGAAGAAACACUUGCAUAUAUUAUGAAAGCUUGCAUAAUAAUGCAUAAUAUGAUUAUUGAGGAUGAAGGAGCAAUGAACCUUGGAUUUGACCAUGAACAUGAAGUCAAUUCCUUUAUAUCAAUGUCAUAUGGUGAAAUACCAGAACUACAUGAUUUUUUUCAAACUCAUAAUCGAAUUAGGGAUAGAGCAACUAGCUCUCAACUACAAGAAGAUUUGAUUGAACAUUUAUGGGAACAAUAUGGCAACGAGUAGAAUCUUUAAAUUUGAACUUCUUAUGUUAUCAUAAUUUUCAAGUUUUUUAUGUUUUUUUUUCAUUAUGGUUGUUAUCUUUUAAGUUAAUUAAUCCUACUUAUUAUUGUUAAGUGUUAGAGAAACUUCAAAAAAGUAUUAUGAAUUAAUAUCAAUUUCAUAACAAUAUAUUUAAAAUAACCAGGAAUUUUCUACAUAUUUAAUUAAAAAUACAUUACAUUACAAUAAAUCAAUCAAAGUUAAUUAAAAAUUAAAACCCCUCUUUUGUAUAAUUUCUAACUUUUUAUUUUGAAAAUACGCUGCAGAAAUUAGAUCCAAAUUAGAAAUAUUCAUUUUCAUAAUUUGUUCUUCUUUCUCAAUCCUGUCCAAUUCUUGUUUCUCUUGACUUUGUUGAAUCAUCAUAGCUUGUUACUCUAACAUAAUUUUCCUGUCUUGUUUCUUCUGAUCCUCAAUUUCAACUAGAGUAUCCCUAAAUUGUUUCCUUGUCUACGUUUAAGUCGUUUCUUUGCAACCUUCUGACCGAUUGGUCUAUCUUGAUAAAUCAAUGGUUCACUAUCUUCUCCUAAACUAACAGAAUCAGGGGUAGAUGGAGUUGAUGAAGCCGGACUUGCAUUGACAUGACUUUUUUGUUUCUUGUUUGACCUUUGAUGUUGACUUGCACGCUCAAAUUGCCAUUUGGGCUCUUUUCUUAAGAUAACCCAAUAAUGUUCUAGUUGAAAUUGUUUGUCAAUGCAAGAAACAUACAUUUGCCAAGCAUCAUUAAUCUGGUAAAUAAAUUAAUUAAUUAAAUAAUGUUAAAAUAUGUGUUAAACAAUUUAACAUAGAAAUGAAUAUUAAAAUUACCCUUGAUUCUUCGGUCAUUCCAUUUUGCUGACGAUUUUUAAUUUGAGUAACAAAUCCAAUAAAUUUACCGACUUCUCUAUUUAUUUCUUGCCAUCUACUUGAGAUGCUUAUUUGGGAACGAUUAUUCAAGUUUCCUCCAUUCUCUACAAAGUAAGUAUGUACUCGAGCCCAGACUGUUUUAUUUGUUGUUCAACUCCUGUAAUUGGAUCCUUGCUUGUAUUUAGCCAUGUAGGGACAAGUAAACAAUCUUUCUCUGGUGAGAAAUUUUUACUUCUUUGUGAUUUUUUUAUCGAAUGGAUAUUUAAAUUCGAGUCUGUUAAGUCAUCAAUUAAUUGAUUAGAAUCACUUGGUUGAGAGAGAAUAUCUUCUGACUCACUCAUAAGAAAGUUGGUAAAAGAGCUUAGAAAAUUUGAAUCUAUCUACAUUAAAAAAAAAAUCUCAAGUUAAAACCUUAUAAGAGAGUGUAAAAGAAGCUCACAUUCAAUGUCUAGCAAUUUUGUAGUUUGCAUACAUGUGAAUUAAUAAUAAGCAUUGCCUCCUACAUAUUCUGAUAUAACAAUUUGACUAUUUUUUUGGAACUAAAAGAGAAUUGAUAUACUGGUUUAAUUAUAUUUUCAACAAGACAAAAUAUAAUUGACCUCAAAUUAAAACAGACAAUCAAAAAUAAAUUUUAAAUAUAUCACUCUAUCUUUUUAUCAAUAUCAACUACCAUUAUUAAUUCCUCUCAAUUUUAUCAAAGAUAUCAACAUAAAUAAAAAUUGUCUUUCUUAACCCAUAUUAAAAACAUAAAAUAAUAAAGAAAUAAAAAUCAUCACAAAUAUUAAAUUAACAACAAAAGAUCUAAAAAAUCAAGAGAUAUAAAAGAGAAUAAAAAAAAGCUUUUAAACAAGCAUACCUUUUAAUUUCAGCUAAUUAACACAACUGAUAUUAUUAAUUAACCGGAGAAUAAUUGAUUCUUGUUUUUUUAAAUUUGAGAGAAGGGUGAGGCACAAUACAAAAUUUUAAAAUCUACAAGUUCUUUCCUCCUAUAUUUAAAGAAAAACAAAAAGAGUUGUUGGCCAACGGCCAAGGUUGUCAAAAACGCUUUUUUGACACGACACGGAACAUUCAAUUUAAACUCGACUCGUAAACUCGAAUCGUAAAAUCGGAAGUAAAAAUUUUUAACUAAAAAUCGUAAAAUCGGAAUUAAAAUAUUUUAACUAAAAUCGUAAAAUCGCAAGUAAAAUAUUUUAAACAAUACAAAUAUCCAAACAUAUUAAAAUACAUAAUUCAAAUAAAAGUAAAAUAAACAAUACAAAUAUCCAAACAUCUUAAAAUACAUAAUUCAAAUAAAAAUUCAUACAUGUCCAUAGUAUUUAAAAAGAUUCCAAAGCCAACAACUCCAUGUAUCAAGAUCAAGCUAAAAAUGGCAAUGGAAUGGGUGCACGUUUGCAUGAUUUGGCAGAACAAAUGAAUAAGGAAGCUAAAGGAGACCAAUUGCGUUACUUAAAAAGAUUGUUCAUCACAUUUAACUGAUUGAUAUACUGGCAAAAAAAGCUUAAUGAAAUGCCUCAAUCACUAAAACAAAAACUAGUGUAGUAAUCAUCAACUCAUAGCAUCUAGGUUAUAUCUUGGACAUUAUUCUGACAAGGAAAUAUGAUAAAACAAGUGCAAUGCCAAAGCAUGCAAAUGGUCACACACUCACAGUCUCACACUCUCUAUUCCGAAAAAAAAAAAAAAACAGAAUACACUCAAUACAGUGCAAACCAAAUAUCACUAAAUCAAAGCCUUGCAGGAUGAUAACAUUUGAGAGAUGCAGUCCGCUUUAAAUUGCUAUCCAGUAAUACACAAAAAGCCUAGAUAAAUUAAAUGCAAAAGACAUUCCAAAUAGGUGCAUCAAUUGCCCUAAAGUUUGCAGUUUUUGGAUUUACAGAAUACCUGCAAUCCUGAAAAUUGGAAUGCUUCCUUGCUUCGCUGGAUCGUUGUCUAUGCAGAUUGCAGAAUUAUAGAAUCUGCAACACCAAAGCAAGCAAGAUCAAACAGAGCAUAGGUGAACAUUAAAAGAAAUCUGGCUUUGCUUGUAAUUAAAAUCGCCAGUCAAAGUGCCAAGCUCCAUUUCCUUCCCUUUGAAUGGGAUUUUCUUAUCAAAUCUUUUUUUCUUUUUAAUGGAUUCCAACGUCAUUAAAUGCUUCAUUGAAGUGAAAAAAUGACUAGGGGAAAAAUGCAGAAAUCUACCAUUUACUUCAGCCCAUUUGCACUUAUGGUGACUGUGAUUUCCUCCGUUGGCUUUUAUCCUUUUUCCAUAAGUAAAGUUGCCUAUACAAGUCCUUAAACUGUUUAAUUUGUUGCAAUUGAUUACCAAUCCUUUAAUGUUUGAAAAUUGGUCUAAUUAUGUUAUUUUAGCCUAGAAAAUAGAAUUGGUUGAUGGUAAAUAGCCUGGCAGUGCAGGUAAAAGUUAGCAUAAAUGCUUAUCCAAAGCUCAGUAAACCAUUGUUAGAAUACCCAGAAGCAAACCACUAAUUUUUAGAAUACCCAGAAGAUAAACAAUGAAUUUCACAGCAUACCCAUAUCAUUUUUUUUUAUCUCUAAUCACCACCAUUAGACAGAAAAAAACAAAGCUUGGGAUUGAGAAUCAAUUCUUACCUUCAUCUCACCAAGAACGCUCUGGAUCGGGGGGGAAUGAUUUCUUGAUUUGCUGGGGAAAGGGGAAAGGGAAAAGGGAAAAGGGAAAGGGAGUCAGGAGGGAGACUGGGAGCAGGGAGAGUGUGAGACAGAAAGGGAAUGAUUUCUUGAUUUCUUGAAGUCACUGGUAGGGUGAGGGUGGUCGCCUGGUCGGGUGGGAAUUGGGAAAGAAAAGAGAUUGUGAAUUUGUGAGACAGGGACAAAGUCAAAAUUUUUGCAUUUCUAAUUGCAUUCGGUCAGGUGACAUUUUGGUUAAGUCGUGAAAACGUAACGUUUUUAACGUUUUUGCGAGUUAUUACGGUUUUAUGCGAUUUUGAUGAUUUUCGAUUUUUGUCUUCGUCUUUACACGUUUUAUGGGUUUUAACUCGUAAAAUCGUAUGAUUUUACGAGUUAAAACGCAUUUUUAACAACCAUACCAACGGCUAUAAAAAUAGCCCUUGGCCAACAAUUAUUUGUUUUUGUCAUUUCUACAGGGAAAUAUAGAAAUGGCUAGCCAGUGAACAAAUAGCUAAAAUAGCUAUUUGUUUGGGUGCUGCGUUAGAGUGAAGAAAUGAAAAGGUAAAAGCUAAAAAUACACUUUUUAAUAUUUGACUCAUGCGUUGGAGAUGCUCUUAAAGCAAUUCAAUUAAUAUAAAAUAAAUAAAAACUUGUAUACAAAGGUUAGAAUUUAUUUAUUCAUUUAUUUAUUUUAAAAGUAUAUAUUUUAAUCUAAAUAUAAAGUAAUUAUAUAUAGACUAAAUUAAAAAUAUUUUUUAUUUUUAAUAAAAAAACAAGAUAAAUAUAUAUCUUUUAACAGGCUCUCAAACUCGCGAUGUGACAUCUACAAGUAUUGAGAGUUUAUCAAUUAGAAAACGAAAAUGAGAAAUGGAUUGCAACUUGGUAAAGAAAUCUGUAAUUUGCAAUGAAAAAAAACAAAAGGCAAAAUAAUGGUAUCAUGCUUGAGAUGAUAGCGAGUAAAAUAACAAUUGAUCUCAAUAUAUUUAGUUCAUUCAUGAAAAAUUAAAUUGUAAAUAAUAUAAAUUGAACUCUAAUUGUUAAAAUUCAUAGAAAUAGAAUAAGAAAAUUUUUAUUGAACUCCUAUUAAAAAAAAAUUCACUAAUACAAAUAUCUUUUUUUAUUAUUAUUAUUAUUCUUUUUCUUCUUCUUCUUUUUUUGCUAGAAUGUGAUUAUCAAAUCAUUUGCUCUCUCCUAAAACUUUUGUGAUAACUUUCCUUUCUUUUUUCAAAAUCCCAAGAUUGAAAUAUGAAAAAAAAAAAAAAUAAAGUUUGAUAAUGAAACAUCAAUCUCUAAAACAAUAGGAAUCAAAUAACAAAAAAAUUGAAAUUUUAAAGAUUAAAUUAAAAUUUUUCAUGUCAAAAUCUGAAUGGUGUAUUUCUUUUUUUUCUUCGUUAAAUCUGGUUUUUGUUUCUUUUAAUUUUUGAUUUGGAACCACAAUUAAAUUUCAAAUUUAAAAAAUCAGAAUCAAACUCAAAUUUAAAUAUCCUUAAAACCAAGCAUGCAAGAGAUAAUGUAAAUCAAAAGAAAUACAAACAAAUGAUACCAUGAUAAUAUAAUUCUAAAGGAUAAAAUUAUAAAAAUAAAAAGUUUAAUAAUCAAAAUUAAAAAUAUAUUAUUCUUAUAAACAGAUGAAUCCACAAUAAAAUAAGUAAAAUAAGUAUGCGUAAAUCAUAUUUGUGCUACAAUUAAAGACCCAUAUGUUUUAGUCAAUGACUAGUAGCGGACCCAUACUAUAUCAUAAGGUUAGAUUUUCUUUUUGUGUAAAAAUUAAUGUUGAGGUGUUGCAAAUAUAUUUUUAAGCAUGAAGAAGAAUUCUCAUUUUAGGUUAUAGACUUGACCAUGUCAAAUAGGAUAGUUUAUUUUAAUUAGAUGAUAGAAAAAAUAGAGUAAUGGAAAUAGAUGUACAAAAUUAAAGAAAAAGUCAUGAUAAUAUAGGGAAAAACUUUAGAGGAUGAAGUUGCAAGAAUUAAAAGUCCAAUAACUAAAAUUAAAAAAAUGAUCUGCUCAUAUGUACAAUCAAAUCCACGACGAAAGCAUGAACAUUGUUUGGUGCCAUAGUAAGAGAUCCUAUGUUCAAGCUAUUUCUGUAAUAAUCUCUAACUGUAAUUUGAGUUCGUCAUCCAAUUGUAAGCUACACGUCGUCUGUGAUUGUCAGUUUUCUAUUCAGACAUUCUGUGAAUAGUCAGUCAAAGUGAAAUACAAGAAAACAAAUCCCUCUCUCCUCUCCCCGCUCUGUAAACUCUCCUUUUAGGUAGCCAUGACUGCGGCCACCAAGAAACACCUACCCUCCUCCGCUAAGCCACCCAAGAACCACCACUCUACCCCCAACACCACCACCACAACAACCCCACAACCUAACAUCACUCAAAACCCUAACCCAACCACCAAUCCAUCACCACUAUCUCCCACCCUCAAAGACCAGGUUUUGUCACGCGCCACCCACAUCACGCACCAAGAACUCCUCAAAAGAAGGUCUUACAAGCUAAAACAGCUCUCAAAAUGCUUCAAAGAUCAUUACUGGGCAUUAAUGGAAGAACUCAAGAUUCAGUACAGAGAGACUUUUUUUGUCUUAUUUUUUUAUAUUAAUUUUUUCUCCUUUCAUAUAAUUAUUUUAUUUUCUUUUAAUUUUUACUUUAUUAACAAAUAAAAUGAGAUAUUUUAAAAAUAUUUUAAAAAAUUAGUUUUAUAAUAUUGACAAACAUUUAUUUUUUGCUUUGAAUUAUUUUUUUUUCUUGCUUUAUUUGUUAUAAUAUCAUUAAAUUAAUUAAUUUCAUUAAAUUUAUUAAAGCAAAUUACCUAUAUAUUAUUUUUAAUAUUUUUAUACUAAAAAUAAUUGGUUCAUGUGAAGCGACCCGCCUAACUAUUCUUAUCUGUAAACAUAUCAUGUUAUCACAAACUUAUUUAAAGCUUGACGCAUUGGUCAAUUAUUUUAUAUUUCAGUGUUUUGUGACAUUAACAAUGAAGUUAUUGAUUGAAGCAUUGGUCCACACUCUUAAAUGGCGAAGACUUCCCCCAUGCGCACUCAGGUCAAUGAUGAACAAUUGUAGGUUUUUUGAUCGCCAAACCUUACUUUUGAAGAUGUCAUUGAAAGUGCCGCCCCAUCUUUUAUUUUUUUUGUUUUUUUUAUGGCGUGGGUGGCGCGAUAAUUUAGUAUUUUUAUUUUUAUGUUUUAAAAAUAUUUUUUAAAAAAUUUAAAAACUAAUAUAUUUUUAAAUUAUUUUGAUGCGUGAAUAUUAAAAAUAAUUUAAAAAAUAUAUAUAAUUAAUAUAUAUAUUUUAAUACAAAAAAUUAUUUAAAAAAUAAUCACACGGUACUAAAUAAUCUCUUGAAAUUGUUGGAGUGUCGGGACUGUUCUCAUAUGUUUUUAUAUUUUUUUUUAUUUCAGUUUUUAUUCUAUUAAUUUUAUAAUUUUUUAUUUGAUACUUUUAUUUAAAAUUUUAAUCGCUUUCAAUAAAGCUUGUCGGUGGUAAAACACACUCCGAAGCAAUCUGUGGUUCAACGACAAAAAUAUGAGCUUUCUUUUCUGUUCGUUUCUGUGGUCCACCACCUUUAAUUUCUUUCAUGGCAAGAGUUUUGCCCCCAUGCGCAAUUAGGUCAAUGACGAAGAAUUGUAGGGUUCUUGCUUAUUUCUUCUGGUCCAGAAGCCUGUGCCGUGUAACAAUCUAUGGGUAGAAAUUAAUGGCAAAGGGAAGAGAUGAAAGAAGAAGGUCCAUCAAAAUCCUUCUAUCCUCCCUGCAACUCCUUCAGAAUUCUAGGACUUGUUUAUUUUUGUAUUUUUAAAAUAUUUAAAAAAAAUUAAUUUUUUUUAUUUGUUUAAAAUUAAAACACGUCAAUUACAAGAUAUUAAAUAAUCAAAGAAAACAUCCAAGUUUAACAUCAUAAAAUAAUAAUAAAUUAGUUCAUUGUAUAGAGAACAGUAAAUUUAUCUUAAUAAAAAAUUAAAUGAAAUCAAUCGUAUGAAAGUGAAAUAAAACAAUAAGUGAUGCCUAAUCCUUUGAUCUCCCACCAACAAUCUUUUAGCAAUAUUUUGUUGAAAAAGUGUACCUCUAAUCUUACAGUUUUGUUCUUAGUUUUAUUGUCUUCAUUUGUAUUCUAUCAUAUGAGUUUCCAGACUUGUAGGUAAACAUAAAUGCAUCUAGCAACAAUUUCUCUAAGUUUUUUUAUUGAAUCUAUGAAAAGAAUUUCAAGAAGUUAAUUACGAAUUUAUAUAAACUCUUGUACUAAAACAAUCAAAUUAUAUUAUGAAAUUAAUUUUGUUAUUAAUACUUCAUUGAAUUCAGAAUUUGUGAUCCAAAUGGUUAAUUUGACCAUGGUCUUGGAGAGUUUUUUUAUUUUUUUUUAUCUGAAAGAUAUUCAUCUUCAAAUUUUAUUAGAAAAAAAUAUCACAAAUAAAAAGUAAAUUUUAAAUUUUUACAAAAAUAUUUUUAAAACAUAUAAAUAUACACAGACAGUUAGUAUUGUCAUUGACAUGGUCUUGAUGAUGACUUACCAAAAUAAUUUUCAAUUGUCGAUGCUCCAUAGAGUGUUUAAGGCACAAGCCACUCUCUCCCAGUGAAGCAAUGAUUUUUAGUCCAAGUUAUCAUGUGCGUGCUUGAAAGUUUUUUUGUCCCGUAAUUGCAGCAAAAUUUGAAUUUUGCACCUAAAACGAUCGUUAGCAAAAACAAUCUGUAAUUUUUCUUGCAAAGAUCUGUAAGGUAAUUAUAAGAUUAUCAGCACUGGAUAAAUAGAAAAAUCUUGGAUUUAGAACUAGAAAAAUCUUCUAAAUGAAUAAUAGAAAAGAAAAGAAAAGAGAAGAGAAGAAAGAAAGCUAAGCUUUACAACUGGAAAAAACAUUAUCAGCACUGGAUAAAUAUGAAAUGUUUAAGUUAAGUUGAUGCUGAAAUUCUGAAACGUUUAUUUCUAUCACCCUCCCGAUCACUCCUUAGUCCUUACAUAAAUAGCAUGACGUCAUACCUUUACUAUGAGGUAAAGGUUCCAAAACCAGAAUACAAAACAAUCCCUAGAAAUCAUAAAAUCCUAAUUUCAUCCCUUACUAAGGGGAAAUAGCGAUCGGGAUCCUCGUUAGCUGCGGGCAAUCACGCACAGUAAUUUCUUCGAGAGAAUCGCAAAGAAGUCUUCCAGAAUAAAUGCUAUUCAAAUUUGGUAAUUUCUUCAAUACCAAAACCCUCAAUUUAUCAAAUCUACGAAAAGGAGAGGAAUGCUCAUCACUUCCCAUUAUCUCCUGCAUGUUGUAACAUUCUUCGACUACAAUCACUUCCAAUCGGAGUGUAGACAACAACCAAGGAGGGAGCAGCACCUUCAUCCUAUGACAUUUAUGUAUCACGAUCUCUCUGAGAUUCCAGAAGACUAGCUCUGAAGGUGCUUCAAAAAGGGUUUCUAAGAUUAUCAAACCAUCAAGGUGUAGAAUCUCAAGCCCUUCAAUUUCAUCUGAUGGACAUAAGCUUCUCAUGUUUUGACAUCUCACAAAAACUACUUUUGUAAUGAAGAGCGGGAUCAGACGAUUUGCAUUGUCAAGCUUGAGGUCAUAAAACCAAGCCUCUUUAAUUAACCCUGACUUCGAUCUUGUAUAAUUUAGAUCUUCAAGUGAAGAGAAACAAGGUCGUCCUACAGUAACCUUGCAUGCAAUUUGUGAAAAUCUCCGUCCACGACAGAAAUAUACGAAAUCGUCUAGAUCACGGAAGUUGCAUUCCAAAGUUUCCAAAUCAUAUAAUCUGGAAACUUCGUCUCCACUAACUAAGAGAACAACUCCAAAUCCCUGAAGAAGCUUGAGGAACUGUAAUUUUGAGAGUUGGGGUAAAAUACCCGGCCGUAAAAAACGCACCACACUUUGAUCAAGAUUAAGAUACCUGAGAUCCUUCAGCCCUUCCAUUCCCUCGGGCAAAUCUUCAAGUCCAGUGUAACUGAGAUCCAACUUCUCCAAUGCCUCAAGCUUUGCUAAUGAUGGUACAUAACUCAGCUUUGCACACCAUCCCAGCAACAAUGCAGUGAGUCUCGUCAGAUGAGAAAUAGAAUCCGGCAACUUCUCUAUAUCUGUGUCGGAAAGAUCAAGAACCUUGAGUCCGAUGAGGUGCUGGAAAAAAGAAUCCUCGACCAAAUCCAAUUUGUAGUUUCUGCAUAACAAUAAUGUUGAGAGACGGGGGCACAUUGGUGAAAAGCCUGUUGGAAUAUUCUUGAUUCUAUUUUCCAUGAGUGAAACUCUUAACAGUUCCUUUCUCCACAAUCUUACAUCGGGUAAUUCUGUUAGGUGUGCACCUGCUUGAACCAUAGCCUCCCCACUUUCGUUCAAUAUUGUCCAAGCCAUAUCCCAAAUCAAAUCAUGCAUCUUGACAUAUCUGUAAUUUUCAUCGUCCCUGGAACCUUCUAAUAAGCUGGCAUCUUCAAGUUGAUCAAGCAUGGUAUGGCCCCUAUCAAAUUGUGCAUACCUACUCCCCAUUUCUUUGACUAUACCCUCGUCAAUCAAAUACUCUAUCAAGUCCUCUCUCCAGAUGAUCUUGCCUUUUGGAAAUAGUGUGAUAUGUAAGAAGCACUCUUGAAGUGCUGAAUCGUUCAACUGAGCAUAGCUAAAUUUCAAUACUCGAAAUACAUUGGCUUCCAUCUCACCUGGUCCAACUUCUAAUCUUCUCAGUUUUAGCAAUGCAUCUCUCCAACGAUAUUCAAAAGCAUUGGCUCCCUUCAUGCUUCGAGCCAUUGUCAUGAUUCCAAGGGGCAAACCAGCACACUCCUUCACAAUAGACUGUGCGAUCUCAGGAUAAAGUGUACCACCACGCCCUAAUCUGUCUAUGAACAGAUCCCAAGCCUCACCCUCAGAAAGAGGCUCCACUUUGAUUGUCCUUUGGCAAUCCAUUUUUCGACAUAUCUCCAGUGAUCUCGUUGUGAGAAUCAACUUCCACCCGUCUGUUCUAAGAGGUAUUCCCACUUCGUCAGGAAGAAAAUCACCCCACAAAUUAUCAAGAAUUAAAACACCUUUUAUCACACUCAAUGCUGUCCAUAGCUCCCUGGCUCUAAUCAUCACAUCUUUUCCAUUCUGAAGACAUAAACCAAAAGCAUUGGCAAUGAGAUCCUGCAAUGCGUGAACGCUAAAUUCUCGAGAGUCAGUAAUCCAAUAGACACAGGGAAAAAUGUCAGGUUUCUCUUGAAGGUGAUCAAGGAUAUGUGUAGCCAAAGUUGUCUUUCCGACUCCCCCCAUCCCGUAAAUGCCAAUGCAUGAGACCUCAUCAUUCAACAACCAAGAGCAGACAUCCUUCAUAUUUCUUUUAAACGCUUGGCCCACUAUAUUCGUUGUCAGAUCAUAUCUUGUAGUCCUAGGACGCUUAUGUACAGGCCUUUUAGAAGAGCUUCCUCUCACAACAAAAGACUCUGUUCUUUGUCUAGUCUCGGGUUCAUCUGGCAUAAGAACGACAGGAGCUCUAGGUUCCUCGACAAGCUCAGUCUCCCCCCCAAUCAGAAAACCCUUACGUCCUCGUUCAUCCGAAAGUGGUUGUUCUUCUUGCUCCAUUUCUAAGCCCCGCAAAGCAGUUGAAGCUGCAUCAAUUCCCUCGUUAUUGCUUGAACUUGGCACACUCUUAUCUGCAGGCAUUUUAGAACAGCUUCCUCUCUCAGUAACAGCCUGCAUCCAUUCCUGAAGAGUGAUGUUAUUCGUAUCCGUUUCAAAUGCUUGAACUGCUGGCUCUAUUCCCAAUCCAGUCUCAGGUGCAUCGGGCAUAAGCAUGCUAGGAACCAUGGUCUCCUCAGACAGGAAAAACUCUCCCCCAGUUAUCCCAUCCAUCCAUGAAACAUCAUCCGAACUUGGCAUGCUCCCACGCAUUCUGUCAGGAAGCUUAUCAAACGCUGCUCGUUGAGCAUCUGGAGUUACUUUUUCACAAAUUUUAACACCACGACCUCGAACUUUUGCCAGAUGAUAAUUCAUCCUUGUAGUGGAAGUACUUCCAGCCAAUGUCUUCUCGCAAAACAUGCACUUCAAUAAACCACCAUCUUUCUCAAAACAACUCUGAAAUGGAUCACUUCCUCCAGCCAUUUUUUCUUCUGUGUCCCUACAUACAAACAUAACAAAGAACUUUCAGAAUAUUGAAUUAAAAUGGAACUUAAACUAAUUGAAAAAAAGAAGAAGCUAAGUUUAACAUAAAAAGAAAAAUUGAUUACAGGUGUUUCACUGUCUAAACCAAAGUCAAGUUAAACCACUCCAAAGAUCAAAGUGCUCUUUUAUUUUUACUUUCCCAAUAAUUCUACAACUGGUCAUAUCAGUAAUUUAAUAACCAGUAUGUUUCUUUUUGCUUAGAAGAAUCAAACUACAUGAGUUGGAAAAGAAAUGGUAUGAAAAAAGAGCUAAAAUUAAUCAAACUUAAUUACCUGAACAGCAGAAGCAGCAAGAUGUUAUCCAAUGGUCUGAUUAAAUCAGAAAAAAGAAGAUGGACGGGGAAGAGUAAGUGUGUUGGAGACGAGUGAUAGAGCUUCGGCUUGUGUGGUUGUGGAUAAGGAUAGAUUCAGACAGUCAGAGAAGCAGAUGACAGUGAAAAAAAGUUAAAUGGACUUCUGUCGUUCAUGGAUGUCAUAUGGACAUGUUGUUGGUCUUCCAGGAAGCGGAUCCGGCGAGGGGUGCUCUAGUGAAGGCGUGGGGGUAGGCGGUGGCUGAUGAUAGUCUCCUCGUGUGGUGGACAGCACGCCAGCUUUGCAAACGAUGAGAAAGAGCACGAUCCACCACAAAACAGCAGAAGAGAAAGCAGCAGGCCGAGAGAAGAAAAGGGAGCAGGAGCAGAGUUGACCGAGAGACAGGUAGAGCUUGUUAGAGAUGGAGAAAAUAACUUCUUAAAUAGUGUAAAUAUAAUUUUUUUUAAUUAUAUAUAUUUUAAUGGUAUAAAAAUAUUUAGAAAAGUUAAUUAUAUUUUAAUAUAUUUUAUGUUAAAUUAAUUUUAAUAUAAUUAUAUAACUAGUUUAGAUAUUUUAUAUAUAAUAUAAUUAUGAUGUUAUUAAUUAUAUAAUUAAUAUGAGUAAUUUAUAAAAGUAAUAUAAAAUUAAUGAAGUAAUAUGAAAGUUAAAAGAUAUAAUUUAAAAUUAAAUUUAAAAUUUAUUUAUAUGAAUAUUUUUAAUUUUAAGUUUUAUAUGUAAUUGUUAAAUAUUUAAUUUUUUUAAAAGUAAAUUCAAAUUUAAACUUUGAAAAAAUGACUGCCAACAUUUUAAAUUUUGAAAAAAUUACCGCCAACAUUCUAAGAUUUUACAAUUUAAAAAAAUAAUCCAUCUAUAAAUAUUCUCAUAUGCCUUAACAUUUUUUUUCUCGUCAUUUUCUUCUCUCCAAUCUUUGUUAUAUUUCAUUAAAAUUCAUCAUGAAUCAUUCUAAUUUUAAUUUUUAUGAUGCUUUUGAUUUUAAUAAUGACACUCCUAUGUUUGCUUUUCAAGUUGCUACUGUCGUGGUUGCUGAAGAAGAAUCGAAUAAUCAAGGGCGAAGAACAGGAUAUCGUGGCUCUAUUCAUGCUCACAAUAUUGUCAAUCGUAAUAGAAAGGAAGACAAGUUAAAGUUAUAUAAUGAUUAUUUUGUAGAAAAUCCUAAAUUCACUGAAAGUCAAUUUCGAAGAAGAUUUAGGAUGAGUCGUCGUCUUUUUCUUCGGAUCGCAAAUGUAGUAGAAGCUCAUAAUCCAUAUUUCAAACAAAGGACAUAUGCUCUUGGUGUUCUUGGUUUAUCUUGCCUUCAAAAGAUAACUGCAGCUCACAGAAUACUUGCAUAUAGUAUUCCUGCAGAUCUUACUAAUGAAUAUCUUUGAAUUGGAGAAAUCACUGCGAUAGAAAGUCUUAGAGCUUUCGUCAAAGCAAUCAUAAAAGUUUUUGGUGAUUGGUAUCUAAGGGCACCAAACAAGACCGAUAUUUGUCGAUUAUUAUCAAUUGGAGAGCAGCGUUGAUUUCCAGGGAUGUUAGGGAGCAUUGACUGUAUGCAUUGAAAAUGGAAGAAAUGCCCAAUUGCAUGGCAUGAGAUGUAUACUGGUCAUUAUCGUGAACCAACUAUAAUUCUAGAGGCGGUGGCUUCACAACAUCUUUGGAUAUGGUAUGUCUUUUUUGGAAUGCCUGGAUCAUUAAAUGAUAUUAAUAUUCUUGAUUGGUCAUCUAUCUUUGUUGCACUUGCUGAAGGUCGUACUGCUCCUAUCAAUUAUACAAUUAAUGGGAAUGAAUAUACAAUGGGAUACUAUUUAGCAGAUGAGAUUUAUCUUAAUUGGUCAACCUUUGUUAAGACAAUCCUAAGACCAUUAGGAGCAAAAAAAACAAAUAUUUUGCAAACAAGCAAGAGUCUGCAAGAAAAGAUGUGGAGCGGGCAUUUGGAGUGCUUCAAUCUCGUUUUGCAAUUGUACGUGGACCUGUUCGAUACUGGGAUGAAGAAACGCUUGCAUAUAUUAUGAAACCUUGCAUAAUAAUGCAUAAUAUGAUUAUUGAGGAUGAAGGAGCAAUGAACCUUGGAUUUGACCAUGAACAUGAAGUCAAUUCCUUUAUAUCAGUGUCACAUGGUGAAAUACCAGAACUACAUGAUUUUCAUCAAACUCAUAAUCGAAUUAGGGAUAGAGCAACUAGCUCUCAACUAUAAGAAGAUUUGAUUGAACAUUUGUGGAAACAAUAUGGCAACGAGUAGAAUCUUUAGAUCUGAACUUCUUAUGUUAUCAUAAUUUUCAAGUUUUUUAUGUUUUUUUUUUCAUUAUGGUUGUUAUUUUUUAAGUUAAUUAAUCCUACUUAUUAUUGUUAAGUGUUAGAGGAACUUCAAAAAAAUAUUAUGAAUUAAUAUCAAUUUCAUAACAAUAUAUUUAAAAUAACCAAGAAUUUUCUACAUAUUUAAUUAAAAAUACAUUACAUUACAAUAAAUCAAUCAAAGUUAAUUAAAAAUUAAAACCCCUCUUUUGCAUAAUUUCUAACUUUCUAUUUUGAAAUAUACAUUUUCAUAAUUUGUUCUUCUUUCUCAAUCCUGUCAAAUUCUUGUUUCUCUUGACUUUAUUGAAUCAUCAUGGCUUGUUGCUCUUACAUAAUUUUCCUGUCUUGUUUCUUCUAAUCCUCAAUUUCAACUAGAGUAUCCCUAAAUUGUUGUAAGAGAUUCGUUACAGUUACCUCCCCAACUUUAUCUUUUCCUUGUUUACUUGUACAUCGUUCAUUUGCAGCCUUCUGACCGAUUGGUCUAUCUUGAUAAAUCAAUGGCUCACUAUCUUCUUCUAAACUAACAGAAUCAAUGGUAGAUGGAGUUGAUGAAGUCGGACUUGUAUUGGCAUGACUUUUUUGUUUCUUAUUUGACCUUUGAUGUUGACUUGCACGCUCAAAUUGUUAUUUGGGUUCUUUUCUUAAGAUAACCCAACAAUGUUCUAGUUGAAAUCGUUUGCCAACGCAAGAAUCAUACAUUUGUCGAGCAUCAUUAAUCUGGUAAAAAAAUAAAUAAAUUAAAUAAUAUUAAAAUAUGUGUUAAACAAUUUAACAUAGAAAUGAAUAUUAAAAUUACCCUUGAUUCUUCAGUCUUUCCACUUUGUUGACGAUUUUCAAUUUGAGUAACAAAUCCAACAAAUUUACCGACUUCUCUAUUUAUUUCUUGCCAUCUACUUGAGAUGCUUAUUUAGGAACGAUUAUUCAAGUUUCCUCCAUUCUCUACAAAGUAAGCAUACACACGAGCCCAUAACUGUUUUGUUUGUUGUUCAACUCCUGUAAUUGGAUCCUUGCUUGUAUUUAGUCAUGCAGGGACAAGUAAACAAUAUUUCUCUGGUGAGAAAUUUUUACUUCUUUGUGAUUUUUUUGCUGAAUGGACAUAUAAAUUCAAGUAUGUUAAGUCAUCAAUUAAUUGAUUAGAAUCACUUGGUUGAGAGAGAAUAUCUUCUGACUCACUCAUAAGAAAGUUGGUAAAAGAGCUUGGAAAAUUUGAAUCCAUCUACAUUAAAAAAAAAAAAAAAACUCAAGUUAAAACCUUAUAAGAGGGUGUAAAAAAAGCUCACAUUCAAUGUCUAAUAAUUUUAUAGUUUCCAUAUAUGUGAAUUAAUAAUAAGCAUAGCCUUGUAAUUGUUCUAACAUAACAAUUUGACCAUUUUUUGAAACUAAAAGAGAUUUGAUAUACUGGUUUAAUUGUAUUUUCAACAAGACAAAAUAUAAUUGACCUCAAAUUAAAACAGAUAAUAAAAAAUAAAUUUUAAAUAUGUCACUCUAUCUUUUUAUCAAUAUCAACUACCAUUAUUAAUUCCUCUCAAUUUUAUCAAAGAUAACAACAUAAAUAAAAAUUGUCUUCCUUAACCCAUAUUAAAAACAUAAAAUAAUAAAGAAAUAAAAAUAAUCACAAAUAUUAAAUUAACAACAAAAGGUCUAAAACAUCAAGAGAUAUAAAAGAGAAAAUAGAAAAAGCUUUUAAACAAGCAUACCUUUUAAUUUCAACUAAUUAACACAACCAAUGUUAUUAAUUAACUGGAGAAUAAUUGAUUUUUAUUUUUCUAAAUUUGAGAGAAGGGUGAGGCACAAUACAAAAUUUUAAAAUCUACAAGUUCUUUCCUCCUGCAUUUAAAGAAAAUUCCUCUUGCAUUUAAAGAAAAAAAAAAAGAGCUAUUGGCCAAUGGCUAUAAAAAUAGCUGUUGGCCAACAAUUAUUUGUUUUUGCCAUUUCUACAGGGAAAUAUAGAAAUGACUUGCCAGUGAACAAAUAGCUAAAAUAGCUAUUUGUUUGGGUGCUGGGUUGGAGUGAAGAAAUGAAAAAGUAAAAGCUAAAAGUACACUUUUUAACAUUUGGCUUUUUAUUUGGCUCAUACGUUGGAGAUGCUGUUAAAACAAUUCAAUUAAUAUAAAAUAAAUAAAAACUUCUAUAAGAAGGUUAUAAUUUUUUUAAUUAAUUUAUUUUAAAAGUAUAUAUUUUAAUCUAAAUAUAAAGUAAUUAUAUAUAGACUAAAUUAAAAAUAUUUUUUAUUUUUAAUAAAAAAAAAACAAGAUAAAUAUAUAUCUUUUAACAUGCUCUCAAACUUGCAAUGUGAUAACUACAAGUAUUGAGAGUUUAUCAAUUAGAAAACAAAAGUGAGAAAUGGAUUGCAACUUGGUAAAGAAAUCUGUAAUUUGCAAUGAAAAAAAAACAAAAGGUAAAAUAAUGAUGUCAUGCUUGAGAUAAUAGCGAGUAAAAUAACAAUCGAUCUCAAUAUAUUUAGUUUGUUCAUGAAAAAUUGAAUUGUGAAUAAUAUAAAUAAAACUCUAAUUGUUAAAAUUCAAAGAAAUAGAAUAAGAAAAUUUUUAUUGAACUCCUAUUAAAAAAAUAAAUUCAAUAAUAAAAAUAUCUUUUAUUUUUAUUAUUAUUAUUAUUAUUAUUAUUAUUAUUAUUAUUCUUUUUCUUCUUCUUCUUCUUUUGCUGGAAUGUGAUUAUCAAGUCAUUAGCUCUCUCCUAAAACUUCUGUGAUAACUUUCCUUUUUUUUUUUCAAUAUCCCAAGAUUGAAAUAUGAAAAAAAUAAAUGAAACAUCAAUCUCUAAAACAAUAGCAAUCAAAAAUAUUAAAACUUUAAAGAUUAAAUUAAAAUUUUCCACGUCAAAAUCUGAAUGGUGUAUUUAUUUUUGUUCUUUGUUAAAUUUGGUUUUUGUUUCUUUUAAUUUUUUAUUUUGAACCACAAUUAAAUUUUAAAUUUAAAAAAUCAGAACCAGACUCAAAUUUAAAUUUUCUUAAAACCAAGCAUGCAGAAGAUAAUGUAAAUCAAAAGAAAUACAAACAAAUGAUACCAUGAUAAUAUAACUCUAAAGGAUAAAAUUAUAAAAAUAAAAAGUUUAAUAAUCAAAAUUAAAAAUACAUUGUUCUUAUAAACAGAUGAAUCCACAAUAAAAUGAGUAAAAUGAGUGUACGUAAAUCAUGUUUGUGCUACAAUUAAAGAUUCAUAUGUUUUAGUCAAUGACUAGUUGUGGACCCAUACUAUGUCAUAAGGUUAGAUUUUCUUUUUAUAUAAAAAUUAGUGUUGAGGUGUUGCAAAUAUAUUUUUAAGCAUGAAGAAGAAUUCUCAUUUUAGGUUAUAGACUUGACCAUGUCAAAUAGGAUAGUUUAUUUUAAUUAGAUGAUAGAAAAAAUAGAGUAAUGGAAAUAGAUGUACAAAAUUAAAGAAAAAGUCGUGAUAAUAUAGGGAAAAACUUUAGAGGAUGAAGUUGCAAGAAUUAAAAGUCCAAUGACUAAAAUUAAAAAAAUGAACUGCUCAUAUGUACAAUCAAAUCCACGACGAAAGCAUGAACAUUGUUUGGUGCCAUAGUAAAAGAUCCUUAUGUUCAAGCUAUUUCUGUAAUAAUCUCUAACUGUAAUUUGAGUUCCGUCAUCCAAUUGUAAGCUACACGUCGUCUGUGAUUGUCGGUUUUCUAUUCAGACAUCCUGUGAAUAGUCAGUCAAAGUGAAAUACAAGAAAACAAAUCCCUCUCUCCUCUCCCCGCUCUGUGAACUCUCCUUUUAGGUAGCCAUGACUGCGGCCACCAAGAAACACCUACCCUCCACACUUGAGGGUCCAGCUGCUGUGGUCAACCGUGUGACUUGUUCCGCCCCCAUCCCGGGUUCGACCCUCUAUGUGUACGCCUGUCACCCCCGCGGUGCCUUACAUGUUCACUGGGCUUGCAGGAUGCCCAGUGGGCCCGGGGACUAGUUGUGGUGCGCGCAAACUGGCCCGGACACCCCGGUUAUCAAAAAAAAAAAAAAAAAAGAAACACCUACCCUCCUCCGCUAAGCCACCCAAGAACCACCACUCUACCCCCAACACCACCACCACAACAACCCCACAACCUAACAUAACUCAAAACCCUAACCCAACCACCAAUCCAUCACCACUAUCUCCCACCCUCAAAGACCAGGUUUUGUCACGCGCCACCCAUAUCACGGACCAAGAACUCCUCAAAAGAAGGUCUUACAAGCUAAAACAACUCUCAAAAUGCUUCAAAGAUCAUUACUGGGCAUUAAUGGAAGAACUCAAGAUUCAGUACCGAGAAAAAAUUAACCGAAAAAACCGAACCGAUAGAAAAAACCGAAUAAACCGAUUAAAAAAACCACCCGGUCCGGUUCGGUUCCGGUUUAAGAAGGCUUAAACCGAUUAAACCGGACCGAACCGAACUAGUUUAAUUAAAUCUAAAAAAAUAUAUAAAAAAACAUCCUAAACUUAAUAAUUAAUACCCCCUCCCCCAAAACCUUUCCAGCUACCCCUCCCCUUUUCCCGGCUUUCUCUUCCCCCCACAAAAUAAAACCCAGCACUCUCAAUCCCCACCCACACAACCUUUCCCUCUAAACAUUUCUAAAACGUGUGAUUGGAAUGUCCAUCACAAGUGUAGAAGGAUAUUUGGGUCCCAUAUCCAGGACCGUGAUGAUUGUUAUUACCAAAGCUCUAAUUUUUUUCACUUAAAUAAGAGGACAAGACAGGACAUGACAGGACACGAGGAUAUAACGGUUUUAUCUUAUUUAAUUGAUUUCGGUUUUUCUGGUUUUUAAAGCUAAAAAACCGACCCGAACCGAACAAAACCGGUUCGGUUUGAACCGGUUCUCGGUUCGGUUCGGGUUAUAUUAACAAGGAAUAGAAUUUUCUGGUUCGGUUAAAUUUUCAUGUUAAAACCGGACCGAACCGGACCGUGAACACCCCUAAUCAUAGGAAUAUAAACAUAUACCUUCACUCUUUUUUAGAAGCUAAAAGGUUUAAAAUUAAUUUUUAAAAGUAUCAAUAUUAAAUUACCAUAAAUCAAGAAUAUAAUUCUAGAAAAAUCAAGGAUUAUUUUUAUAUAUAUUAACUUUUCAUUCACCUAUAAUUUGUUUAAAUCAUUUUAAUGAAAACAAGUUUCCAACACCAACACAUAACAACACACCUUUUUUAUUUAAUUUUUUUUAUUUGUUUUUUCAAUUUAGUUUUCAAUUGAUGCCCUCUCUUUUUAUAUAUAAUUGAUUAGUCUAUCUACUUUUUAAAUACUAAUUAAUUUUCUAAAUGAUUUUUUAAAAUUUUAUAAUGCCUCAAAGGGAUUAUUAUAAUUUGUUUUAAAUCUUUUAUCUAUUAAAUUCUUUAUCUCGAUAAGUUAUAUUUUCAUGAUAUAUUUAUAUUAAUGAAAAUCAAAUAUAUUUAGUAUCCAUUAUAAACUUUCAAGAUAAAUAAAUAAAUACUAGAAAAAAAUUAAUCAAGCCUGCAAUGUAACAUUAAUCACCAAUCGAAUUAUAAUCUAUACUAAAAGGCAUUAGUUUUUGAAAUUACUAUGCACUCUUUCACAAUACAUUAUGGAUUGGAGCAAAGAUUUUAUAUAUAUAUUUUCACUUUGGUCUUUGAACUUUUAUUUUGAGUGAUUUGAUAUUUUUUAGCCCAAAUUAGCCCCCAAUUGCACAUUGUUUUAGAAGAGAGGGUUGAAUUGAAAGAUAGGGAAUUGAAGUGAAAAUAUCGGGUAACAUAGGGGGUGGGUUGAAAAUUUUGCUAACACAUUCAUUUUAAGCCCCUAUCGUUUUUAAAUAUUAGGUGACCAACCCCUUGAAUCUUAAGAAAAUAUAUUUUUGUACCUAACUUCAUUUUUCUCUUUUUAGUUCUUUUUUUGUUGGGAGGAGAGGGAUGGAGUCGCCAAAUUCUAGCCUAUAGAGAGAAAAUGACUAUUUGAAAAGAUUACGGCCACCAAAAUGGCUGAUUUUUAUAUCAAAAAGUUUCAUAUGAUGAAGGGGUUUAGGUGUUUUUUUUUAUUAUUAUUUACCUAAAAAACACCUGAAAAAGAUCUGAGCUUUGGUAGAAUUUUUGUUUCAGUUAGAUUUUAGGUUUUGGGGCGGUUUAUUGGGUUUUUGGUGACCAUGGAUUGACUUAAUAACGUCUCUAGGGUUUUUUUCUAGGUAUCUUGGGGUAAAAAAUAGAUUGAAAAUUAAUUUUUGAGUAAAAAAAUAAAGGACCUUAUUUUUCCGGCCACCAUAAUGGCCGAAUUCUAGGUUGCGCAAAUGAUACAUCAUUGUUUUAUAUACUCAAGGCAUUAGAAUUGUUUUUAAAAUAAAGGCUUGCGCAUUAGCUGUUGCUGUAUUAGGUCAGAUAUUGGGCAUGGCUUGAUUCUUUUUUUAUUUUAUUUUUUAUUUUUAGUUUUGUGUGUAUUUUAUCAAAUAAAUUUUGGGUUUAUAUUUUAAUUAGAUUGUGAUUAAUUUUAAAUGAUAUUGAGUGUGUUUAAUUUUUAAAGAGGUAUGUAUGAUUCAUCUGUGAUUUUUUCUUAAUUUUAUAUAUAUUAAAUUUGUUUUUUUAAUAAGAAUUUUUAUAUGUGCAGUCUUACAUUGUUUAUAUAUAUAUAUAUAUAUAAUUAUUAUUCAAAACUUUUUAUGUAUGUGUCAGUUUCUAUUAUAAUUUUAGUUUGAUAGAGGGGUUCAUUAAACAUAAUGAUGUAAAUUACCCAUAUUGCAAUUUUAAUACUCAUUAUUUUUAUUGUAGUUUCUUGAUUUUUGAUUUUUGUGUUGUUUUUCUUGUGAUUUUAACCCUCAUAUUUUUUUUUUCUAUGUAUAGUACUUUCGUUCCUAUAACCUAGGUUAUUGUUUAAAAAGUUAACAGUAAUUGAUUUUUUUUGUUUUAUUUUUUUAUAUUCAUUUUUUUCUUUUUAUAUAAUUAUUCUAUUCUCUUUUAAUUUUUAUUCCAUUAACAAAUAAGAUCAUUGAGAUGUUUUGAAAAUAUUAUGAAUAUAUAGUUUUAUAAUAUUGACAAACAUUCAUCUUUUGCAUUGAAUCAUUGUUUUUUUUUUCUCGCUUUAUUUGUUUGUCAAUAUCAUUAAAUUAACUAAUUUUAUUAAAUUUAUUAAAGCAAAUUACAUUUGGAGUUAUGAGAAAUGGAACUCAAAGAUUUCUCGAAACAGAAGACCAUUGGUCCAUCACUUCUAAGAUAUGUAACUCUCAAUUCUUUCCAAACAUCGAAAGUUGUCGUGAAAUAAAGAAGAAUCAUCAGAAAGAUUCUAAACAGCGGUGUUGAGUGAAUCAUUGUGUGCUGUAAAAGUUUUUUUUUUUUAAGAUCAGACAUUUUGAAGUUUUGAAAAAAUCAAGAAGAUGAUGAAAAAGAAUGUUGAAACCACAAAUAUCUGAUUUAUGAGAAAUGAAGCUAUGAUACCAAGAAAAUUGUUGCGCAAGAAAUGAGAAACGCAGAGGAAAGAAAAGAAAAGUGGAUUCUUGAGAGAAGGAAAGUGUGUUCUGCUCUUCUAGAGAAUUAUAUGCAGAAACUUAGUUUACUCUUCUUUUAUUUCUCUUCUUCUUGUAUUGUCUAUACCAGGGGAUACGAAUGUAUAUAUAUAUAUACGCAUUUGCUAACUCUUAAUUUGUAGCAAAUUCACAGUCUAAAGCCUUCAUCAAACUAAAUUAUCAUAUUUAUAAAGGCCAAAAUCAUGGCCAGUUUUUGUGCACAUGAUCUGUAUAGGAAUUCCAUGUACAAUGCUUGAUAGUCAUAAGAAUAUAAAAUAUCCUUUGCGAGCCAUAUAGCUUGAUAGCCAGCCGGUAGAUCCACGGUUUGCCCUUUCUUGCAAAUGUUUUCAGCAUGCAACUAUUAGGUACUCAACCAUUCAUUUAGAAUUGAUAGUCUAAUGAUUGAUUUUUAAAAUAUUUUUAAUUUGAAAAGAUAUUAAAAUAAUAUAUUUUUUAUUUUUAAAAAUUAUUUUUGACAUCAGCUUAUUACAACGAUUUGAAACCAUUAAAAAAAUUAUUUUGAAGCAAAUAAAAAAUAAAACAAUUAAUUUGAAACAAAUUAAAAUUAUUUUUUUAUUAAUAAAUUAUAUUUUCAUGAUAAAUUUAUAAUAAUAAAAGUCAACUGUGAUAAACUGGCAAGAUAAAUAAAUAAUUGUUUUUUAAAAAAAUUGGUUCGGCCUGCUGCAGUGAUAUCAUCAUAUCCCAUGUCACAUUCUCAUUUAAAGCAACGACAAAAGUUUGAGCUCUUUGUUUUGAUCUGUUCAUUGGUUCUCGAGCCAGACAACAAGGCAUCUCUUUCGUUUGAUAUUUUAUACUGAAAGAGCCGGUCAAUUAUUUUAUAUUUCCUUAGUUUCUUUCAGAGCAAGGCGCCCUCAGGUCAAUGAUGAAGAAUAUUUGUAGGGUUCUUGAUUAUUUCUUCUUGUCGAGAAGCUUGUAGCAAUCUAUCACGGUGUGCUUGUCAAGAAAGAUGUACGUAUUAUAGGGUAGAAGUGGUAAAGAAAAGAGAUGAUAGGAGGAGGAUGAAAGCACAUGAUCUCUCUAGGAAUUCUAUGUACAAUUAAUGCUCGAUAAUCAACUUCUUUUCACGGUUAAAAGAUUAAAGAAUUAAUUUUUAUUAUUAAUAAUUUUUUACUCUUUAUAUAGAGAAUGACUUUAGAUUAAUUUUUUAUUUAUUUAUAAUUUGUUUAAAUUAUAUUAAAGAAAACAAAUUUCCAACGCAAAGCAUAAUAACACACCUUUUCAUUUAUUUUUUCUUACUUUGUUUCUUUAAUUUAGUUUUCAAUUAUAUCUUUUUCUUAAUCUGUUAGUUUAACUAUUUUUAAAUAGUAAAUAAUCUUUUGAAUGAUUUUUUAAAUUUCAUAAUAUCUCAAAUGGAUUAUUGUAAUUUAUUUUAAUUUUUUUUUAUAGCUAGAUAAGUUACAUUUGCAUUAUAUGUUUUUAAUGAUGAAAAUAAAAUGGACUUAGUAACCAUGAUAAACCUUCAAGAUACAUAAAAAAAAAAUCAUCUAUAAAAAAUGAUUACCAAGUUCAUGUAUAUUAUCAAGUUCAAGUAUAUUGGAUCUAGCAUACAUACACAACCUAUAUAUUUAUAAUAAAUAAAUAAAAUAACUUAAUAGUCUUCGCAAUUGAAGUAGGUAGGCUGAAUUGCCUAAAUAUGAUGAAUAAAGGGUUGAAUUUGCAAAAUGAUAUACACAUUUUAAUUUGUUGAUUUGAUACAUCUCAAUCUGUGAAUUGACACUGCAUUAGUAAUUAAGAACUUAGAAGGUGAAUCGACAGAAAAGAAGAAUAAGAACAAGAAGAAGGAGCAUUAGUACUAUUUCCUAUAUUCGAUGGUCCUCGAACCUAAUAUGUUAUUACUGAAAAGAUAAAUUUCUGAACCUAACUCACAACAAUUUCCUUCAUUAUUGCUCAUUAUUAUGUUAUUACUGAAAAGAGUAAAUUUCUGAUCACUCUAUUUCUGAGAUGGCUGCCAACUCUUGGUGAAGACGUCUCGCUGGCAUGCGGCCUGCGCUGGUUCUCUUAGGGACAGAGGAGCUAAAAGGAUCAGGAGGCUGUGUUAAGUUUUCUCCUUCAAGCAUUUGGACAACAGUUUUCAUGGAAGGACGCUCUGCUGGGUUCCACUGGAUGCACCAUAGCCCCACAAUUGCUAGUUUCUUCGCAAUUCUAGCAUCUUCUUCUCCAUCGAUAUGAAACCGCAGGUCUUCUUCCUUUUCUAAGAGAUUUCCGGGAAGUAUAUCUGGUCGCCAUUUUCUGCUGUAGCAUCGACGUUCUUCCUUCCUCCAACCAUUUCCAACACUAACAUCCCAAAGCUGUAAACAUCUGAUUUAUAGGAAACAUUCCCGAAGUUCCUCGAGAACACUUCCGGGGCAAUGUAGCCAACAGUCCCCCUAGCAGUCGUCAUGGAAAUGGCACUUUUAUCCUUGGAACACAAACUUAGCCAUCCCAAAAUCGGCGAUUUUGGGAUUGAAUUCGUUGUCAAGCAGGAUAUUCUGUGGUUUGAUAUCAAAAUGGAGGAUUCUUUGAUCACACCCCUGGUGAAGAUAUUCAAUCCCCUUGGCUAUGCCUAAAGCAACACGAUUCAACCUUUCCCAGCCAAGGAAAUGGUUCCUUGAGUCUGCUGAGGAUAUGAACUUCUGUAAAGAAUCAUUUGGCAAGUACUCAUAAACUAGAGCUCGUCUAAAUCCAUCAGCACAGAAACCGAUCAAGCGAACAACAUUGACAUGGUGGAUUCUUGCCAUUGUUCCCACUUCAUUGAUGAAUUCCUCCCCUUUUCCUAUGGAAUUAUUGAGGAGCUUCACAGCUACAGCAAUUUCAUUGGUUAGCUUUCCUUUGAACGCGGUUCCAUAAGCUCCUUGGCCCAAUUCAUCCCUGAAUUGAUUUGUGAUCCUCUUGAGAUCAGCGUAGGAGUAUCUAGUGGGAUUCAGUGAUCUGUAAUCAUCCAAAAAACAUUUCAACCCUGGCUUGAUAUUCUCUUUGUGUUUUAUCGUUGCUAUAGGCGCGGUAGAGUGCAGUAAUCAGUAUGCAAAAAGGAAGAAUCCUAAAAAUCACACCUGCAUAUCAACAUUCUGAGUCAGGCAACUCGUUUUUUUUUCUUUUUUGGGAAAUAAUGUAAAGUUGAGAUGGAGAUUUGAGCAGACUACAAACCAGCAAUCUGUAGCUUUCCGCCGCACAUCUGUAAAGGAUUGAUACUUUAAUAAUUAGCUUCUGCUCCUUUUCCAAUUGGUAAUUGCGAUAAAAUCAUGAAAGCAACAAAAACGAAAAGAGUUUCUAGUGUUUUGUUAUUUACAUAUUCAAAUGCCAAUUAUUAAUUUGAAAAAAGGAAGAAAGAUAGAAAAGCAUACCUUUAGUGUAGCAUUCAUCUUCAGAAGAUCCACAAGUUGGAUUGGACCAAGACAUAGUAAGAACAUAAUUUUCUUCAAGCAACAUACUAUAUGAAAUUCCAUAAAUGUUGUACAUCUUGGUACAAGAUAACAAAUCAGAGUAACUGAUGGGAAUACGUGAGUCAACGGCAUAAACUUCAUGCUUAAAAGUACUCAGACAUGGGAUUUUAUCCAUGUACCUUUUCUGAUCACUAGAAAGUGAACAAUUGAACAAGGUCCAAUCAUUCAGCCAAUCGUUCAUAAUUUGGAAGUGAGAAGCCCCUAAACUGAACUUUAAACGUUGCCUUGGAAAGCAACCUUGAGGAUCCCUUGCAUAAAUAAUUCGAUGUCUAUAGUCAAUUCUUUCGAUGAGGAGACUCCAUCCAGUUGGCAGAUUAAGCACUGUGCCGUUGUCCUCUGAGCAGGAUAGAUCAAACCCAGGAUAUCCACAGUGGUCUGGUUGUUUUUCCUUGAUCCGGAAAGGAAAUCGGAUGUCAGGGCCACGGUUUCCACAUGAUCCUGUGUAAUUCAAGCUUGCUCCAUGGUCUGCAAGGAAGACAAUGAAAAAGAAGAACAAACACGUAACCAUUUCUGAUGAAUACUUCAUCAUCUCCACACUCCUCUUAAGACUUUAUCUGCAUGUUCUGAUAUAGUUUUGGCCGUUCAGAAAACUCAUGUAGUCCUUAGAUCGGUGAGUCCUUUACACUGUAGUACACGCAUCCUUGCAUCCCUCCCUUCGACAUUAAAAAAAAUAUUCAAAAAGACUGUCUGGUUCAGGUAAUUUUGGUCGGUUUUUAUGAUUAAUUUGCUCAUCCCUAAUGAUAGUAAUAGUCUCUCUAUCUACAUAAUGUGAAUUUUAAUUACAUGGUCGCACCCUUAACGCUUAACGCUUAUGCCAGAAGGGACGGGUGCGAGAUUCUCAACAAGAAAUAAUUAACGCUUAACGAUUAACGCUUUGACAAGUUCUUUAACCUUUCAAUCAGUUGGGAAGGGAGGAAAAGUCUUGCUUUGACAAGUUCUUCAACCUCUCAAUCAGUUGGGAAGGGAGGAAAGGAAAGUAAACGGCUCUCUGUUGUUGUCUUGCUACAUAGCUUUUCUUUUUCAGAUAUCAGUAUUUAAAUACUGAUUUAAGUUCUUUUUCAAACACGCUAUCAGUAUUUAAGUACUGAUUUAAGUUCCUCUUCAAACACGCUAUCAGUUAUUUAAGUACAGUUGGACUUCCAAACUUGAAUAUUUUUGUCAUUAGACUAGAGGUUACAAUUGAAUUGUCACUAUCUUUAUCUUGGAAUAUCUCGUGGAUUUGGUCUUUGAUGAGAUGCUCCAACAAUAAUAUCAAGCUCGCUGGAUUUCGUUGUUUGUUGUAUUGUCACUUCAGCCUUCCCCAUGUUUAGAGGAAUGAACGUCCUUUUUGCUUGCUACAUAGCUUUUCUUUUACAGCUAUCAGUCUUCCAAAAUACGUGCAGAUGUUUUACAGAUGAAACCUUUUCCCUUUUUCAUCAGUAGAGCAAGCAUAUGCACAUGUUAGACAAGAGGCUAUACGACAGCAAGUCUUGACCAAUCACAAUACUGAUGGGAUACCAGGGGCUGUCUUGGCCUCUAAAGGUCUCAUGCUAAUCAAUCCUACUCUCAAUAAAACAACCAAGACCCGAACCACCAAAGAUGGAAGAAAAUGUUCCAAUUGUGGCAACCAUAAACACACACGUGAAAACUGUUUCCAGUUACAUGGAUACCCAGAUUGGUGGCAUGAUCUACAGGGCCGUAAACGUCGUGAUGGAGCUGGUACUACUGGGAGUCCAGGCAAAGCUGCGAUUGUUGCUGCUACUGAGCGUAACCUUUCUCUCAUACAGCCAGUUUCAACAUCUAUUGAGGCCCCUCCCCACUUAAACUCGAGUAAUUCUGGUCUUGCCUUACUUACCAGCCACAGUGAUGCGGCGUGUAAUACAUGGCUCCUCGACUUAGGGGUCAUUGGCCAUAUGACAUUUGAUGCCUCAGAUUUCUCUCAUACAUCCUCCCCACGUCGAACCAGCAUCGCCAAUGCAAAUGGUGGUAUUUCACCAGCCACUAGAGCAGGCUCUGUGACUUUAUCUUCAUCUCUGCAUUUAGCCAACACUUUACUUGUUCCAGCAUUAUCACAUAAACUGAUGUAUGUAGGCCAACUUACUACAGACUUGAGGUGUGUUGUGCUGAUGUAUUCAAACUUCUGUCUUAUUCAGGACAUUCUCACCAAGGAGAUAAUUGGGCGUGGUACUAAGAGGGGGGAACUUUAUUAUGUGGACGACAUCAAUAUCGGCCAGGCACAUCACAUGCACCAUCUGCAUACUGCUAAAGAGAGACAGAUCUGGUUAUGGCAUCGUCGCCUAGGACACCCAUCUUUCCAUUACUUGCAGCAUGUUCUUCCGGAUUUAUUUAUGAGUACUCAGAUUUCUGAUUUGAAGUGUGACACUUAUAUUUUGGCUAAAAGCCACCGUGCUACUUACCCAUUAAGCAUGAAUAAGAGUGACACUCCAUGUGCUUUAAUACACUCGGAUGUGUGGGGACCCUCACCGGUUACAAAUAUGUCCGGCAUUCGUUGGUUUGUUAUUUUUGUGGAUGAUUGUACACGUAUGACUUGGCUCUACUUAAUGAAACAGAAAGAUGAGGUUCUCAAUAUCUUCGAAACAUUCCAUGCGAUGGUUUGUACCUAGUAUGGAGCCACUAUUAAGGUUCUCCGCUCCGACAAUGGUGGUGAAUAUGUAAAUAAGCACCUUAAGACUUAUUUCAAUCAUCAUGGUCUCAUUCAUGAAACUUCAUGCCCACGAACACCCCAACAGAACGAUGUUGUAGAGAGAGAAAAAUAAACACAUUCUUGAGACUGCACGUGCUCUGCUUCUUGGCGCUUAUAUGCCUCAACGAUUCUGGACUGAUGCAGUAUCCACUGCUGUUCAUCUUCUCAACCGAAUGCCUUCUAAGGUGUUAUCAUUUCAGACUCCACUUCAAUCCCUUUCUACUCAUGUGCCACUGCCAAAUGCAUUAAUGCUCCCUCCUCGGGUCUUUGGAUGCGUAGCAUAUGUAUACCUUCACAAGAACCAGCGCUCUAAACUUGAUCCAUGUGCACGUCGGUGUCUAUUUCUGGGCUAUGGUAUACAUCAGAAAGGGUAUCAGUGCUAUGACCCUACUGCAUGCAGACUCUAUGUGACUAUGGAUGUUCAAUUCUUAGAAGCUGACAUGUUAUAUUCCCCUUCGGCAUCUACUUCUCCUCUUUAGAGGGAGACACAUAAUAAAGAUGAAGAGGUGAAUUGGUUCCAACAAGAGAAGCUCAAUGAGUAUUGAUUAGUACUUAAAAGUGCAUAUUUAUCAAGGUUUUAUAUCAUCAUUUUGCACUUAAAGUAUCAAUAACUCCUUAACUAAAGCAUGUUUUAUAAUAACAAGUCUAAUACUAUAAAAUGCCCUAAUAUAUGGUAAAUGUUCAUCUUAAAUGCAGGCCUAUCACAUAAAUCAAAGGAUUGAUUGAUGAAUUCAACUACUGAAAUUUGUGAAGAUAAAGAGAGGGUGAAACUUAGAAAAGAGAUGUUGGUGCAGUCCAAACUGGAACACUGUUCGGUAAUUGGGUCAUAUCUCGAGUUCUAGAUGUCCAAAUGACCUCAAUUUUUACACAGAUUCAGUAAGACAUAGGCCUACAACUUUCAUGUUUUCAUCAAGAUCUAAGAAGGCCGUUUUCAAGUCCAAAUUAUAGCAACAACGGAGAAGUCCGAAUCUGUCCUGCAGCCCGAACACUGUUCAGUGUUUGGCCCAUAUCUGGAGUUCUAGAAGUCCAAAUGACCUCCAUUUUUUUUCUGGAAAGCUGAGUCAAUUUCCUACAACUUUCAUGUUUUCUAGUGGACCCAGUUCGGAUGGUAGCAUUUUUGUUUUAUUCAGACAAGAAGAUAAGGAUUUUCACCAAGUCAAAAGUUGGCCACCCACUCAACAAUUAGUCAUCAAAUCAAUAAUUCCGAAUUUUGGCCUAUAAAAGGAGGCAUUUGCCAUGCAUUUGGGGUUGGUUGUUCAGAUCAAGUUCAUGCUCUUUAUUUCUCUCUUUAUAUUUUUUUUGUAAUUCUUAAGUUUUGCUUUCAUUAAUAUCUUGUUUAUGCUUUUCAUUUCCUUUCCUUUCCUUAGUUAACUUGUAUCUUAUUUAUGUUCUUGUUUUGUUUAUUUAUGUUUCUCUUCUUCAUUAUGUUUAGCUAAGUUUAUUAUGUCAAGGUGAAAAGGUUACACUAAUGGUGUAAGAACAAGUAUGGUGUAAACUCAACAUGGACCUUAAUGUUUAAUAUUAACAUGUCUUAUCUUUUUAUCUUACUAAUUCUUAAUACCUUGCUUGUUAAAUGGUUAAUCUAGAUUUGUGUUGUAUAAUACUUGGUACAACAAAUGCUUGGCACUCUCAUAGCCCAACCGUAUGGUAUUACCUACACCUGGGCUAUGAAAGGAACUUGAUUUGUUGUUAACAUCAGUUAACAUCAUGAAUUCCUGACAAUAUUUAAAAGUUUGGUGUUAUGUAAAUAAGAUAAUUAAUAUGAUCAUGUUAAUAAUUUAUAAUGAGCUAUUAAUGAAAAUCAUCCGAUUGGAACCUCCUCGUGUGUGGUUUCCAAAUUGAGUAAUAAGAGUUUAUACUAUACUUGUUUGAAAUACCAUUGGUGGAUCCUCUAACCUUGACAUUUGUUUUUUAUUGUUUAAUCCUUACAUUAAUCUUCCAUCUCAAAGUUCUCAUUAAUUUCUUCCUCCUCUUCUUUUUAUUAUUAUUACUACUACUACUACUACUACUACUACUACUACUACUACUACUAUUAGUAUUAUUAUUAUUAUUACUAUUAAUAUUAUUACUAUUAUUACUAUUAUUAUUAUUAUUUACAUUUUGUUUAUAUUAUAUAAUAUAUAUCUUUGAUCUUUUCAUAAACUCAGUAUAUAGGCUGGAAACCUGUGACCCGAUCUUUUAGAUCAUUCUCGGUAUAACAAUGCACGUACUGAGUAUUAUUAUUAUUAUUAUUAUUUGUUGUUGUUGGUGUUGUGUUGUUUGUUGUUGUUGUAUUGUUAUUUAUAAUUUAUACAAUUAACCUCUCUGUGGUUCGACCCUAGUCUUGCUGAUUAUUUAUUAUUUCGACACUCCUGCACUUGGAAGAAGACAUCAAUCUUUUGGUCGUGUCAAGUAUAAUUGGAUUAGUCAAGAGAACCUACCACAUAAUGUUGAGCUGCUUCACGAGAGGCCAAAUGAUGACCUUGGUGUUGUCCACUGUGACAAUGAUAUACACUCUAAUGGGCAGAUUGAUACCCAUCCUAGCAUGGAACAUAUAUUGUAUGAGACAUAACCUGCACCCCCCCUCUCUAAAGUGCCAGCCGAAUCAUCUCCUGAGAAUACUCCUAAAGUAAGUACUCCUACAACACCUCUGGAUAUCAAUAAUAUAGAUGUCUCUAUGGGAUAUAUCUUACCUCACAAGUACAAUCGGGGCAAGCCACCUAACAGAUACUCUCCAGAGAUUGAAGACCAAAGGUCAAGGUAUCCAAUUGCCAACUAUGUAUCCACCAAGGGUCUUUCUAAACCCCUUCAGAAAUUUACACAGGACCUUUCCAUAUGUCGGAUUCCUACCAAUGUUAAUUAGGCAUUGACAGAUCUGAAAUGGAGCCAAGCGAUAAAUGAGGAAAUGGAGGCAUUACUAAAGAAUAAUACAUGGACUCUUGUCCCAUUACCUGAAGGAAAACGAACAGUAGGUUGUAGAUGGGUGUUCUCUGUUAAACACAAAGCAUAUGGAUUUGUUGACCGAUAUAAAGCAAGAUUAGUGGCAAAGGGAUACACACAAACAUAUGGUGUGGACUAUCAGGAAACUUUCUCACCUGUUGCCAAGCUGAAUACAGUCAGAGUACUACUAUCACUUGCUGCAAAUCUUGACUGGCCUUUACAUCAACUUGAUGUGAAGAAUGCUUUCCUCCAUGGCGAACUCAAAGAGGAGGUGUAUAUGGAGGUUCCUCCAGGUUAUACAACACCUUCCAAGACUGAAAUGGUGUGCAAAUUGCAACGAGCUUUAUACGGACUAAAGCAGUCACCACGAGCAUGGUUCAGAAGAUUCAGUUUAGCAACGAAGAAAUAUGGCUCCCAACAAAGUAACUCUGACCACACUUUGUUCCUCAAGCACAAGCUGGGAAAGGUAACUGCAUUGAUAGUCUAUGUAGAUGACAUAAUUAUAACAGGAGAUGAUGUAGAAGAAAUGUCUCAGCUUCAAAAAAAGUUAGCAACUGAAUUUGAGAUGAAAAAUCUAGGGGGACUAAAGUAUUUUUUAGGAAUUGAAGUUGCCAGGUCUAAGCAAGGUAUAUUCCUCUAUCAAUGAAAGUACAUAUUAGACUUGCUAACAGAAGUAGGAAUGCUGGAAUGCAGACCUGCAGACACACCCAUUGUUCAGAACCACAGACUUGGAGAAUACCUUGACCAAGUACCAACAAAUAAAGGGAGAUAUCAAAGGUUAGUUGGUAAACUCAUUUACCUCUCUCACACUCGGCCAAAUAUUGCAUAUGUGGUAAGUGUUGUGAGCCAAUUCAUGCACAAUCCAAGCAAAAGUCACAUGGAGGCAGUGACUCGGAUUCUCCAGUACCUGAAGUCAUCUCCAGGCAAGGGGCUUAUGUUCUCAAAACAUGAUAAUCAAUUGAAGGUUGAUGGAUAUAUGGAUGCAGAUUGGGCAGGUAAUAUCACUGAUAGAAAAUCAACCUCAGGGUAUUUUACAUUUGUAGAAGGAAAUCUUGUAACCUGGAGAAGUAAGAAGCAAAAAGUGGUAGCAUUGUCAAGUGCUGAAGCUGAGUUUAGAGGAAUGUCUAAAGGUCUCUGUGAACUCCUUUGGCUGAGAAAGCUACUUGCAGAGAUCGGAUUUGCCCCCGCUUCUAAAAUGGACCUCUUCUGCGAUAAUAAGGCAGCUAUUUCCAUUUCCCACAACCCUGUCUAACAUGACCGUACUAAACAUGUGGAGGUAGACCGUCACUUCAUCAAAGAGAAUCUUGAAGCAAAGAUAAUCCGAUUUCCAUUUGUGAAAUCCAAAGAUCAGUUAGCAGAUAUUCUAACAAAAGCAGUGUCUAACAAGGACUUCUACAACUCACUUGGCAAGUUGUGCAUGCGAGACAUCUAUGCACCAACUUGAGGGGAAGUAUUGGCGUGAGCUGUAAUUGCAACUAAUUAGGAAAUUUGUUAGGCAUUCAAAAUAUGUGAAAAUCCCGUUAAUAAGGGAGAUAAAGAUAGCCUAGGAUUGUACUGAUCUUUCUUUCCUUUUAUUCUCUUUUUUGAUGUACAUAUAAAGAAACAGUAUACAGAAUAAAGACUACAACUUUGAUUGUGAAUAAUUGUCAUCCUGUGCAGUUCAAGCUUGCUCCAUGGCCUGCAAGGAAGACAAUGAAAAAGAAGAACAAACACGUAACCAUUUCUGAUGAAUACUUCAUCAUCUCCACACUCCUCUUAAGACUUUAUCUGCAUGUUCUGAUAUAGUUUUGGCCGUUCAGAAAACUCAUGUAGUCCUUAGAUGGGUGAGUCCUUUACACUGUAGUACACGCAUCCUUGCAUCCUCCCUUUGACAUAAAAAAAAUAUUCAAAAAGACUGUCUGGUUCAGGUAAUUUUGGUCGGUUUUUAUGAUUAAUUUGCUCAUCCCUAAUGAUAGUAAUAGUCUCUCUAUCUACAUAAUGUGAAUUUUAAUUACAUGGUGGCACCCUUAACGCUUAACGCUUAUGCCAGAAGGGACGGGUGCGAGAUUCUCAACAAGAAAUAAUUAACGCUUAGCGAUUAACGCUUUGACAAGUUCUUCAACCUUUCAAUCAGUUGGGAAGGGAGGAAAAGUCUUGCUUUGACAAGUUCUUUAACCUCUCAAUCAGUUGGGAAGGGAGGAAAGGAAAGUAAACGGCUCUCUAUUGUUGUCUUGCUACAUAGCUUUUCUUUUUCAGAUAUCAGUAUUUAAAUACUGAUUUAAGUUCUUUUUCAAACACGCUAUCAGUAUUUAAGUACUGAUUUAAGUUCCUCUUCAAACACGCUAUCAGUUAUUUAAGUACAGUUGGACUUCCAAACUUGAAUAUUUUUGUCAUUAGACUAGAGGUUACAAUUGAAUUGUCACUAUCUUUAUCUUGGAAUAUCUCGUGGAUUUGGUCUUUGAUGAGAUGCUCCAACAAUAAUAUCAAGCUCGCUGGAUUUCGUUUUUUGUGGUAUUGUCACUUCAGCCUUCCCCAUGUUUAGAGGAAUGAACGUCCUUUUUGCUUGCUACAUAGCUUUUCUUUUACAGCUAUUAGUCUUCCAAACUUGCCAUUCUAGCAACUUCACUGCUCAUCAUUGUGCUCCUUCUUCAUGCGGCAAUAUCCAAAACAUUAGCUUCCCUUUCAGACUAAACACUGAUCCACAAAUCUGCGGAAACUAUAAUUAUACUCUGAUUUGCGAGAACAAUAUUUCUACAGUAUUAUAUUUGUAUUCAGGUAAAUACUACGUGCAGGCAAUCGACUACGGUAACUUCACAAUCCGAGUGGUAGAUGCUGGUGUACAAGAUAAUUGCUGCUCCAUCCUGUUGGCAUGAGUUGUCCUCUACGAGAUUAAAGGAGAUUAAAGGAGGAAGAUCAAUAGUAUAGUCAUUAAUUGGAAGCUGACGUUAUUUACGUUAUGGAUUCAUUAGCUAAUUAAGCCCAUUCAUGUAUAGCCAUAAUUGAAAGUUCACGUUAUUUACGUUAUGUAACAAUCUGCUAUAUAUAUCCUCUCAUUCAUGUAAAUAAAGAUUGAAAAAAACAGAACAAUUUCUCUCCAUUUUUUCCUCCAUUCUGUCAUGGUAUCAGAGCAUACCGAUCCUUCUUAAUAUCCCACAGAUUCUUCUUGUCUCCUUCUAUGGCUGAGAUGAACCCCAAAAUGAGGAAUCUCUAUCUUCCCAAACUGAGGAAUCUCUAUCUUCCUCCAUCCUAGCCGAAUAACCACGAGAAUGACUGAAGUUUUGAGUAAAGCUUCAGCCCCAACCAAACUUCUGAUGGCGCUACUGCACCAAUCGGCAUCAAGUUGGACGGUACCAACUAUGCACUUUGGUCCCAGGUGGUCGAAAUGUAUAUCUCGGGCAAGGAUAAACUGGAUAUAUAAAUGGCGACUUAUCUCAACCUCCUCAAACAGAUUCUACUUUUCGACGAUGGCGUAUUGACAACGCAAUUGUUAAAGGGUGGCUGAUAAAUUCCAUGCAUCCUUCUCUUGUCAGUAAUUUCAUCCGCUUCCCUACAGCUAAAUUGGUGUGGGAUGCAAUUGCUACUACAUACUUUGAUGGCAGUGACACCUCCCAGGUGUAUGACCUCCGGCGACGUGUGACACGUCUUAAACAAGCUGGUGGUUCACUGGAAAAGUUCUAUAACGAACUGCAAGGCCUCUGGCGUGAAAUCGAUUUUCAUCGUCCAAACCCGAUGGAAUGCCCAACAGAUAUUCAACAGUACAAUUCUCUUAUCCAAGAAGAUCGAGUAUAUGUAUUCUUGGAUGGUCUUGAUGACCAUUUAGAUCAUAUCAGGUGUGAUGUUUUGCAGAUAAAGCCAUUCCCAACAGUGGAACAAGCCUAUGCACACGUUAGGAGAGAAGCUCUUCGUCAAGCAGUAAUGAUCACAGGCGUUGAUGAUUUACCUGGAGCAGGACUGGCAUCCAAGAGUCUCAAACACAGCUCACAUUCUCUGUCUUUCCAUGGUGGCAAAUCUGUUUCCAACUCUAAAUCCCGAGCCACCUCUGAUGGCACUAAAUGCUCUCACUGUGGGGGGACAAAACAUACUCAAGAGACCUGUUUCAAACUUCAUGGGUAUCCCGAUUGGUGGCAUGAGCUCCAGGCUCGGAAGCGCCGUGAUGGAAAUGGUGGCAACGUAGGACAGGCUGCAGUGGCUACAGCAGAACCGCAUCUAUCCCUUAUUCCAGCUGCUAAGAUUAAUGGUGGUACCACUGGACAAGCUGCAGUGGCUGCAGCAGACCCACACUCAGGUAAUGCUCUACUUGGUUCUAAUCAGGAAGCUGAUUGCAAUGACUGGAUACUUGAUUCUGGAGCAACAGACCACAUGACUUUUGAUGCCAGUGAUUUCUCCCAGCAGUCCCCUCCAAGGCGAACUAGCAUUGCAAAUGCUAAUGGAGACAUUUCUUCGGUAACAGGGGCUGGGACAGUAAUGAUAUCACCAGCCCUAUCAUUGUCACAUACAUUACUUGUGCCUUCUUUAUCUCACAAGCUAUUGUCCGUGAGUCAGAUUACUAAAGCCUUGAAUUGUGUUGUGCUCAUUUACCCUAUGUUUUGUCUUAUUCAGGAUAUUCUCACCAAGGAGAUCAUUGGGCGUGGUACUGAAAGGGGGGGCUUUAUUAUAUGGAAGAUAUCAGUAUUGGACGAGCACAUCACAUGCAUCAUUCAAGCGACCUCAAAACUAAACAAAUUUUGCUCUGGCAUCGUCGGUUAGGCCACCCGUCAUUUGGGUAUCUGCAACAUGUGUUUCCUGAUUUAUUUUCGGGUUUGUCGAAUUUGGAUAUUAAAUGUGAGACAUGCAUUUUAACUAAAAGUCAUCGAGUUACUUAUCCAUUGAGUAUGAAUAAGAGUGAUAUCCCGUUUGCCUUGAUUCACUCUGACGUAUGGGGUCCUUCCCCAAAAUCUACUCUGUCUGGUUUUCGCUGGUUUGUGAUAUUUGUUGAUGACUGUACUCGGAUGACUUGGAUUUAUCUGUUGAAACAUAAAAAUGAGGUUUUUCAUGUAUUUAAAUCAUUUCAUAUAAUGAUUCAGACUCAGUUCGCAGCUAAGCUCCAAACUCUUCGAUCAGAUAAUGGUGGCGAGUAUAUGAAUCAACAGUUUCGUAAUUAUUUCCACCAUUAUGGGCUAAUUCAUGAGACCUCAUGCCCCCAGACUCCGCAACAAAAUGGUGUUGCAGAACGCAAGAAUCGCCACAUUCUUGAAACUGCUCGAGCUCUGUUACUUGGAGCUCAUGUACCUAACCACUACUGGGGUGAUGCUAUUACCACGGCUGUCCAUCUCAUUAAUCGCAUGCCUUCAAAAGUUCUUGGGUUUAAAACUCCGCUACAGGCCUUGUCAACCUAUGUGUCAUUACCCACAAUAUUGAUGCUUCCGCCACGGAUCUUUGGUUGCGUUGCGUAUGUUCACCUCCACAAGAAUCAACGCACGAAACUUGAUCCUUGUGCCAUUCGUUGCCUUUUUUUGGGAUAUGCUACACACCAAAAGGGGUACCGAUGCUACGACCCAGUUACUAGGCACUUAUAUGUGACUAUGGAUGUCUCGUUCCUUGAAUCUGACACUUUCUACUCUCCUGCUGCAUCCAAUUCUUCUCUUCAGGGGAGACACAAGUAGAAGAAAUGAAUUGGUUGACAUUUGACUGGUUCAAAGACACUGAUACAACACUGAAUACGACUCAACCUAUCAUCAAUCAGGAAUCUAAUCCAGAGUUGACAUCUUCGGAAGUUGAAGUAACAUCUCCAGAAACAGUAAUAGUACCCCCCACUCUUCAGUAUCCAGUGACCCAUCUCCUAGAAUAUCAUUGAGGUAAGCUCUCCUAUCCCACCUCACAUUCCUGAUGAUAUGGAUACCUGUGUUGGUUAUGAGUUACCUUUCAGGAAAAUCGAGGAAAACCACCAAACAGAUAUUCCCCAGAACUAGAGGAUCAAAGAUCAAGAUAUCCAAUUGCCAAUUAUGUUUCGACAAAGAAACUGUCUGAACCUCUCAAGAACUUUGUGAAUGAACUCUCCUCACAUCAUAUUCCCACGAGUGUUGACGAAGCUUUGGAUGACUCCAGGUGGAUCCAAGCUAUGAAGGAGGAAAUGGAAGCUUUACUAAAAAAUAAAACAUGGACUCUUGUUUCCCUACCAGAAGGUCAAAAAACAGUGGGAUGCAAGUGGGUAUUCUCCAUCAAGUACAAAGCCGAUGGAUCAGUUGAAAGGUACAAAGCAAGGCUAGUGGCAAAGGGCUAUACGCAAACCUAUGGCAUAAUUAUCAAGAAACAUUCUCACCCGUGGCAAAGUUGAGUACUGUUAGAGUUCUACUAUCUCUCGCAGCAAAUCUUGAUUGGCCAUUACACCAGUUUGAUGUUAAAAACGCGUUUUUACAUGGAGAUCUUGAAGAAGAAAUUUACAUGGAUGUCCCUCCAGGAUAUAUGGCAAACUCUGAGGCUAAGAUCGUGUGCAAACUACAAAGAACUUUAUACGGCCUGAAGCAGUCUCCUAGAGCAUGGUUUGGGCGCUUCAACUCAGCAAUGAGGAAAUAUGGCUUCCAACAAAGCAACUCGGAUCAUACUUUAUUCUUAAAACAUUACCGAGGUAAGGUAACAGCUUUGAUAAUUUAUGUAGAUGAUAUGAUCAUUACAGGAGAUGACUCAGAGGAAAUAGCAAGACUUCAAGAACAAUUGGCCACAGAAUUUGAGAUGAAAAAUCUAGGAGGACUCAAAUAUUUUCUGGGAAUUGAAGUUGCUAGGUCAAAGCACGGCAUAUUCCUUUCCCAACAAAAAUAUAUCCUAGAUUUAUUAUCAGAGGUAGGAUUAUUGGAUUGUAAGCCUGCAGAUACACCGAUAAUUCAAAAUCACAGACUAGGAGAAUACCCAGACCAAGUGCCAACAGAUAAAGGAAGGUAUCAGAGAAUAGUAGGAAAACUAAUUUAUCUCUCUCAUACACGGCCGGACAUCGCUUAUGCAGUAAGUGUGGUAAGCCAAUUCAUGCACUGUCCGAGUGAAGAUCAUAUGAAUGCAGUGAUUCGGAUUCUCAGAUACCUAAAAUUCUCUCCUGGAAAAGGACUUAUGUUUACAAGAAACAAUCACUUACGAGUGGAAGGUUACACAGAUGCUGACUGGGCAGGAAAUAUGUCUGAUAGAAAAUCGACUUCAGGUUAUUUCACGUUUGUUGGAGGAAACCUAGUUACUUGGAGAAGUAAGAAGCAAAAGGUGGUAGCAUUAUCAAGUGCUGAAGCUGAGUUUCGUGGGAUGGCUAAAGGCCUUUGUGAACUUCUCUGGCUUCGAAGACUAUUAACUGAAAUUGGCCUCACUCCUAAAGGAGAAAUGAAUCUAUUUUGUGACAACAAAGCUGCAAUUGAUAUCUCUCACAAUCCAGUCCAGCAUGAUCGGACCAAACAUGUGGAAGUAGACCGACACUUCAUCAAACACAAUCUUGAGGCCAAGAUAAUUCGAUUUCCGUUUGUUAAAUCCGAAGAUCAGUUGGCAGAUAUACUUACAAAAGCUGUAUGUAGCAGAAGCUUCUACAACUCACUUGACAAGUUGGGCAUCCGAGAUAUAUAUGCACCAACUUGAGGGGGAGUGUUGGCAUGAGUUGUCCUCUACGAGAUUAAAAGAUUAAAGGAGGAAGAUCAACAGUAUAGUCAUUAAUUGGAAGCUGACGUUAUUUACGUUAUGGAUUCAUUAGCUAAUUAAGCCCAUUCAUGUAUAGCCAUAAUUGAAAGUUCACGUUAUUUACGUUAUGUAACAAUCUGCUAUAUAUAUCCUCUCAUUCAUGUAAAUAAAGGAUUGAAAAAACAGAACAAAUUUCUCUCCAUUUUUCCUCCAUUCUGUCACAUCCCUCGUUAUUCUUUGGCACCUGAUGACUUCAGUGACGGAGAUCCAUACACAUGGUAUAACUACAAGGAGGUGCCGCGGCCGGGAGUGAGUGAAAGUUUCGUGUACUACUGGGGCCACUGGUUCUUACCUCCACUAUCACUGCCUAUGGUUUUCAUGAGCUGUGAAAAUAUGGUGAAUUCUCCUCUUUAUGUGGACACGGCUCCCUACGGCCUUAACUACGGAUCAGUAAAUUAUUCCAACUCUUCUCUUGUGACUCAUUCGAAUUAUGUGACUCUUGGGGGCAUGACUGCCUCGGAUUUGAUGGAACUGUGCAGCAUAGAGAAAAUAUUUUUGCUUCCAAAGAAGAACUACACAGACAAGUCCUUCGAAGAAAUACACAGUGACCUGGCAUAUGGGUUUGAGCUUUCAUGGUACAACAUCUACUGUGGAAAAUGCAGAAGUGGUUGCUACCUCGACAGGGCAGACCGUCGUCGAUGCAUUAGCAGCUGUAUGUAACACUUGAUGAUUAAGUUGCUUCAGAUUUGAUUCAUAAGACUAUAAAUAACUUGACCAUGGAUAUACAUUAAUUAGUUGUGUGCGCUCUUUUCUAUUUUCUUUCGCAUUUACUCGUUUCUUAACCUAAAGCUUCAACAGAUUAUGAUCAAAGCUAUUGGCAAAUUAUACUCUACAUAAUGACGACAGGUGCGAAUUCUUUUUCUACGUCUCACCAUGUUCGUGUUUUCUUACGUGUUUCUUUAAACUGUUAAAAAUAUUUGAACUACAAGACUUGGACUUCGACUUACAAUAUUCUUAAUAUAUAUUUAUAUUAGUUUAGGAUAAUUCAAGAGACUUAAAAGAUAAAUACAUAUUUAAUAGUUACAUACAUAUAUUUAGGAGACAUCUAGCAGAAUUAAAAAACACUUUGAAUAUAAACUUCAAAAUUAAUUCCAACAUAAACGACGACAUAUUUGUGAAAUAAGGAUUGUUGUUUCUUGAAUAGUAAUUGUAAUUUUGUUCACCAUUUUCUGCAGGUUCCCUCAUCUAUUUAUUUGGUAAGGGAUUCCAUCAUUUCUUUAGUUUCGCAACAAAUUUCUAGUGAAGACAACAAAUAAGAUCACAAAACUUGAUUGUUUUCUGGAAAUUUCCUACACAGUACUACAUAAUGGGCUAAAAGUUGUUUGUGGGACUCCAUGUGUGAUUAUAUUUUUGAUCUAUAAAUGGAGAAGGAGACAUUUAUCAGUAUACGAUACAGUCGAACAAUUCCUACAGAGUCAGAAUAACCUGAUGCCAGUAAGGUAUUCCUACUCAGAUAUCAAGAAGAUUACUAGAGGUUUCAAGGACAAAUUGGGUGAAGGAGGCUUUGGUACAGUUUACAAAGGAAAGCUUCGCAGUGGCGUUUUGCAGCAGUAAAAUUGUUGGGAAAAUCGAAAGCUAAUGGACAGGAUUUCAUAAAUGAAGUUGCUACAAUAGGAAGGAUUCACCAUACUAAUGUGGUGCAGCUAAUUGGUUUUUGCGCUGAAGGAUCAAAGCGAGCUCUUGUAUAUGAUUUCAUGCCUAAUGGAUCUCUUGAUAGACAUUUGUUUUCUCGAGAAGGAUCAAUCUCUUUAAGCUGGUAAAAACUGCAUCAGAUUUCCCUUGGAGUGGCUCGUGGUAUCGACUAUCUUCAUUUAGGUUGUGACAUGCAAAUACUUCAUUUUGAUAUCAAACCUCACAACAUUCUUCUUGACGAAAAUUUAACUCCAAAAGUCUCUGACUUCGGGCUAGCUAGGUUGUACCCAACGAAUGGCAGCAUCACAUCUCUUACUGCAGCAAGGGGCACCAUAGGUUACAUGGCUCCUGAAUUGUUCUACAAAAACAUUGGACGUGUCUCCUAUAAAGCUGAUGUUUAUAGCUUUGGAAUGCUGCUAUUGGAAAUGGCAGGCAAAAGGAAAAAUGUAAACGCGUUGGCAGAAAAUUCAAGUCAAAUCUACUGGCCAUAUUGGGUUCAUGACCAAGUAUCUGAUGGAAAGGCCAUAGAAAUCGGAGACGAUGCCACGGAGGAAGAACGUAAGAUCGUCAAGAAGAUGAUUAUGGUUGGAUUGUGGUGUAUACAAAUGAAACCUAUGGAGCGGCCUACAAUGAAGAAUGUUGUGGAGAUGCUUGAAGGAGAUUUGGAAAACUUGCAAUUGCCUCCUAAGCCUGUCUUCAAUCUAGAUGUGACGCCACCAAACAUUGAAGGAGAGUCAUCAUCGUUGUCAGGUGAUUCUACCGAAGCAACCAGUUUGGUUGAAAAUGCAUACUGAGUGAUAUGAUGUGGAAUGCUCUGCUUACAUGCAGGGAAAAUGAUAGAAUAAUGGUGCUUUCGGACUUGGUUAUGAUGAUUUGGUCUGCAAACAUUAUGAUAAUUUGAAGUCCUUCCUUUUAUCUGAUUUGUGUUUAGCUAAUUUAGAGUUCAAGCUGCGGUUUGUUUCUUCGGUGUGGUCUAUAUAAUAAUCAUACAAAGAUGUUAUGUAUUGUGUUUAACAAUCAGAUUACUGUUACAGAAGUAUGAAGUAUGAAGUAUUAUCCUUAUUCUAUUAUCUAGGCUGACUAGCAGCCCUUUCCCCUGAUCGAGGCUGACUAGCAGCCCAUACCUAUACUAAUAUGAUUUAACUCAAGACUUUUUAAAUUCUCUAGAUUGUCAUCAAUUAGGGUUGUUGAUGGUGGUUGAUUGUUGAACUGCUGAGAAAAAAAAACUAUGAGAGGCUAGGGUAAAUGCUGUAUGUGGCAAGUGGCUAGUGUUGAGAGAGACAAAGAACAUUUAUCUUUACACUAACACUCAUCUCUCCGGAACACAAAAGGGACUUGCCUCUUUAUUUGGAGGACUCUAAAGAACAUUGAGAGAACCCUUAUUUUUACACUACACACAACGUGCAAAACACCUCUUUCAUCUUCUUCAUCUUUUUACCUACUUAUUUAUUUAGAAAUCAAACUAAAAAAACUAACUUGAGCAUUAAUAGAGGAUUUCCAAAAUGAAAUAGUUGGGGACUAGAUAAUUGCCUUGCAUUAUAUUUGAUCAAUUUUUCUAACAUAAAAAAUUAUUUAGACAUUGCUAAUGUUUUUUUUUAAUGGCACUUUAAACUUUGUGAGGUUGACUUGAGAUGACCUGAUCUACUUGACAGGUCUAAAAACAAUCUAGACGGUUAAUAAAAAUAUAAUUUAACUUAAAAUAAAUAUUCAAGAUGAUUUAUUAAGACAUCGACAUAUUAGAUCGAUUUUGAUCAAUUUAAGUUAACUUGUUUAUCUGGUCAUGAAAUCACAAUAAUUUCAUAGAAAGAAAAUCAAAACAAAUUAUGAAGUGUAAGUUCCAACAAACUCAAUGUUAAUUAAUGAAAUUAAAAAAUAAAAUUAAUUAAAAAAAGAAUAAAAAAUUGAAAAAUUCAUCCUCUCAAAAAAAGGAUGAAUUUCAAACAGAUCAAACAGAAUGCGUUUUCUGUCAAGAAGUAUAAAACAUAAUGAAAUUUUAUCUCUACAGUAAUAGAACUUGAUGCAAGAGGAAGGAAAUGACAGGAGUAAAGAAAGAUGGGAGAGCGAAAUGAAGUCUCUUAGCCCCUAUUUAUAUAGGAAGCCAAUGGGUGUGAAAUUAAUUUGAAUUAAUUCGUAACAAUUCAUUGUAUUUGCAGAAUUAAUGAAUUUGAAAAGAUUUAAUGAAACUGAUCAAACAUUAAAGAAAUAAUUUAAUAGAUAUAAUAAAAAUAGUUGUAUCAAUUUUUUAUUCGUCCAUGAUUGAUUUUAAACAUGUUAACAUUCAAGAUAUACAAAGAUGUAAAUAAAUUGAUAGAUCACUAAAUUAAUUAGUACAAGUAGAUUUUGGUUUUAGACAUUUUAUAAUAAAAUAAUAUCAAAUUUAUUUGGCUAAUUAAUUAAUUUAAUGUUUUAAACUAAUCCACUGUUCAUAUAUGUCAUAACCCAAUUUUUUAUUUUUAUUUUUUUUAUUUUUAUCUUUAUAAAUUAAAAAAAAUAAAGUGGAAAAAUUGGAAUGAAUGAAGAAAAAUUAAGGUUUAGAUCAAGACAAUACAAAUGAGAAGUUUUUGAGGAUCAAUCAGGGAGGAAUUGUAAAUUUGAGGUUUAUUUUUGCUUGAAAUUGGAAGAAUCAAUGAAUUUGAGGAUUUAAUUAAGCUUAAAAUUAGUUUAAUUAACAAAAUCAUGAGCUUAAUUGAAGAAAUAUUAAAAAUAGCUGAUUUAGGUCUAAAUUGCAAGAAAUAAAGUUCAAGGACCGUUGUGCAAAAGGCACCGCAAUGCAGGGGUCUACUUAAAAUUUAGCCCAGGGGUCCGUUUAAAACAUGUUAAAACCUCGAGGACUAAAUUGAAAAAGGCCGCCCCAAUCUAGAAACGGCGCUGUUUUUCAAUUCCAUUCAUCGUCUUCUUCCUCUGGAAGCAGAGGAGACCCCCUGCAAAGGAAAAUAUCAAUCGCCGCACACAUGCCAAAUUCAAGACCGCAUUGUCUACCCACGGAACCCAUGGGAUUUGGUUGGUCUCCCUCACCCUCAUAACUCUCCCCUGACGCGAGGAUAAGCACCACCAAUAAUCCAGCAACGGCAGGACUGUUGGUGUUUCCAUUCUACCCAAACACGGAGCCAAUUCACUCUACACAAGAUGACGAUCACAGGGAAUAUAAGGAUAAGAAUCCCUCUCAAGGUCUGACUCUAUAAAAGUGGGAGAGAAGGAAGAACAGGGGAUCGAAAAAGAGAGACGAUACAGAGAUAAAAACCAAAAAAUAAAAUAAAAAGAAUAGAGAGCAGAAGGGAGGAGAGGACUAGGUCUUGAGAAAGCAAAAACAUAAAAGACAAAAAAGAGAAGCCGAGGAAAAGAAAGGGCGUCCGAGGAGUGCUUCAUCCAGCACCUGCAUUUUGCCGCUCAAGGUCGCUGCAAAAACAGGCAAGUCACUUUCAAUUCUCCCCCUCUCUGCAAUUUAAUUACUCUGCUUUUGUAGUAAGCGUGCGCGAACAAUUCAAUAAAAAUUACAAUAGUUGAUUUAGAUUUUUUUUUAAUUUUUUUUUAAUUAAAUUUUUUAAUAUUGAUUUAAUUGAAAAUUAAAUUUUAUGAUUUGUUUUGUUUACUUUUUAUUAAGUUAUCUUUAUCUUAUGACCCGAGAAUUAACUAUAAAUUAAAAGAGGAUGGGAUUUUACUCAUAGUUUUAAGACCCGGCCCGGUCGUCGGCCCGGUCCAAGCCCCGGAUUCCGGGUUUUGACCGGGUCAUUGGGUCUUGACCGGGUCGCCGGGUCAAAAAAAAAAUUUAAUUUUUUUUAAAAAAAAUCAAAACGACGUCGUUUUAGCAAAAAAAACAAAAAAAUAAAAGUCAACGGGUUUGUGCCCGGGUCUUGCCGGGUCAACAAGGUCCCGGGUCGCCCGGGUCUGGCCGGGCCAAUUCCCAAGCGGGUUUUGACCUUCACCAGGACCGGUCCCAUGCCUGGGUCGACCGGGUCCCGGGUCAACCCGUCGGGCCAGUCCGGGUUUUAAAACUAUGGUUUUACUGUACCCCUCCUUACAAAACACUAUUUAUUGGAAUAAUGUUUUGCUUUGCUCUUUUCUUUUUUUUUCCUUUCUUUGAUUGUUUUUUUCAAUCAAUUUUUCUUGUUUAAUUUUUCUUUUAAUAUUAGAUUUUUUUUCUAUUUAGUUAUCACACUCUAAUGACAUGGAUCUCAGGUUUGAUGGGUUAAUCUGGUUUGGCCGGUUAAUUUGGUUUGGCGGGUUAACUUGGUUGGCUUAUAUUUUUUUCUUUUUCUAUUUUAUUUUAAUUUCAUCAUUUCAUAUUGAUUUGAUUGAGAUUUAAAUUUCAUGAAUUGUUUUGUUUACUUCUUAUUAGGUUAUCAUGGUCUUAUAACUCGACAAUAGUGUUAACAAGUUAAUCUGAGUUGACUCGAGGUGUUUUUUGUGUUUUUUAUUUAAUUGAUUUUUUUAAUUUUAUCAUUUAAUAUUAGGUCAAUGGGGAAUUGAGUUUCAUAAUCUGUUUUGAUUUGCUUUCUUAUGAGAAUAUCUUGGUCUCACGAUCAAGAUAACGAGUGUUGAUAUUUUAACCCUAGUUAAAACAAGUUAUUUUUUCUUUUUAUUUUUUUUCCAAGAUGUUAUAUUGGUCUCAUGACCUGGGUCACAUGUCUUUCAACAUUAGACUUGCUUUUUAUUGGGUUGUUCCUGUCUUAUGACCCGAGUCGCAAAUUUGACGGGUUAACCUAAUUGAUUCAUUUUCUCUCUCUCUCUCUUUUAAUUGAUUUUUUUUUCAAUUUCAUCAAUUAAUAUUAUGUUUGAUUGAUAAUUGGACUUCAUGAUUUGUUUCGGUUUAUUUUUUAUUAGGUUAUCUUGGUCUUAUGACCUAAGAAUAAUGCUUAAUAGUUAACUCGAGUUGACUUGGUUUAUUUUUUAUGUUAUUUUUUUAAUUAAUAUUUUUAAAAUUUUCAUUGUUUAAUAUUAGUUUAAUGCGGGUGAUUUAGAAUCGAGCCUUAUAAGUUAUUUUGAUUUUCUCUCUAUGGGGUUAUCCUAGUCUCAAGACCAAAGUCACAGAUUUGACAAGUUAACCUAAGUUAAAUUCAAUUAUUAUUUUUUUAUUUUUUUCUAUAAGGUUAUCUUGGUCCAUUGAACCGAUUUAUGAGUUUGAUGGAUUGACUCAGGUUGUUUUUUAUAAUAUUUUUUAAUUGAUUUUUUAAAUCUCAUCCUUUAUAUAUGAAGUUUGAAUGGAUUGAUUCAGAUUGGGGAUUGAAAUUCAUUUUUUGUUUCGAAUUGUUUUUCAUGGGGUUAUCUUGGUCUUAUGAUCUGGGUUGCAAGUUUGAUUUGUAAACUCAUGUUAUUUUUUAGUUCUUUUUUUAAUUGAUUUUUUUUUUCAAUUUCAUCCUUUAUUAUUGGGUUGAUUGAAAAUUAGGCUUCAUAACUUAUUUUAAUUUGCUUUCUAUAGGCUUAUCAUAGUUUCAUUAUAAACCGGGUCAUGAAUUUGACAUGUUAACCCGAGUUGUCUCAGGUCAAUCCAAUAUGUUGUUGUUUUAAUAUUAGAAAAAAAUAUUAUCUUGAAAUUUUAUUUCGUCAAAUAUUGUUUUCAUGAGUUGUAUGAGUUGUUUUUUGACCAAUAAAAUCAAUCGGGUUAUAUUAGAAAAACCCCACACAAUUUAAUUUUUUUUCAGAAAAAAAUAUUAACAACAGUUGAAUAUUUGUCUUUAUAUUCAAGAAAAAAAUGAUUUUACCCACAGGUUAAAGUUUAUUACUAGUUAUUUUGGGAGGCUCGAAAUUUUGCUAGAUGUGCAGACUAUUUCCUUAAUAUUAAUGAUUGAUCACAAAGAUAACUUAUGUCCAGUCAUGAGCUGCUAAAAUUUGAACUGCCAUGGUUUAUAAUUAUUUUUUUGGAGAUGUGAAAGUAUGAAUCCUGACCAGUUGCAGUGACAAACUACUGUUUGUUGGGAGAAAUGGCAAAUUAGUGCUAGCCAUAUUUACUUGAAUAAUUCUUGAACUUUUCUUGGGCCAUCUAACAUUUUAUUUAUGAUAGAUUUUCUAAAAUUUAUUUAUGCUGCCUUCUGUCUUAAGGAAUUUGACAAGAAAUGAUCGGUAGAAAUUUAUAAAAAUUUUACAUUUUACUUUUUAAAUUUUGAUUUUUGAUUUAAAUAGAUAUUAUUAAACUUGACUGGAUACAUCAACUAGGAAUCUAGUCGUUUUCUUCUAAAACUUGACUUAAAUUAGGUUAAAUAAGAGAUUUUGUAACUCGUGAUCCUAUCAUUUUGAUUAAAAUUUAAUUUGAUUAUUAAAGUUGCUUUUCUUAAAGCAAUGACAUUUUAUUUAAAAAAAAAAAAAUUUAAAUAGUGAACUAAUAUUAUUAUGAAUUCACCGAGUAAACUUUAGUUUAAACUUGAAAAUCUUGAAACAAUUAACUUGAAACUUUGGAUUGAGCCUUUUGAGACCGUGAUCUUGGAUUGGUGGAGUGAUGGGCUUGCCCACAAGUCUUGUGGGUUGAUGGAUAACUUUCAUAAACUUGCAUGUAAAACAAGUUAUUUUUAUCAGAAUUCAGGGUCCUUUUAUUCUUAUGUUAGUAAACAUAGAAAGAGUAAUUUAUAAGAAAGAAAAGAAAAUGAAAAAUAUAGAGAGUUUGUAAAUCGGUGAAGCUGAUGAAUAAACUUGGAUUAUCUAAAUAUUUAAUUAAUAAUUCAAGAUAUUUAUAUACCUCACUUACAUAAUUUCACCUGUGAAGUGUGAUGUAGUAAGAAAGAGUAUCUAAAAAUUCAAGUUGUUUGUUAUUGAAUUUUGUCAUGUUAUUAAUGAAAAAAUUACUCGUUUUAUGGUGCUCUCUAAGUAGGAGAGUUUAUUAAAUUCAUUAGAGCUAAUUACCUGUAUAUUAUAUAUAUUUUUUAUUUUUUAAAAAAAUAUUUAUCUCUACUUAAUAAUUUUUAUUCUAAAAAAACAUAUAUGACAAGUCACCUAACCUAACUAGUCUUAACUAUCAACAUAUCAUCUUAUCCCAUCUCAUGUCACGUAUCAUCUUAUCCUUCACUCUGAUGCAACCUGUGAUCAAUAAUUUAAUAUUUCAGUGCUUUGUGACAUCAACAAUGUCAUGUUACUGAUUGAAACAUUGGUCCACCACCUUUAAUUUCUUUCAUGGCAAGACUUUCCCCCCUAUGCGCAUUUAAAGUAGGUCAGACUACUAUAUGUUAAAUAAUAUUUAUGUAAUUUUAUUUAUUAAAGGUAGAAUAAUUUUUUUAAUUUAAUUAUAAUUUUUUUAGUUUAAUUAAUAUAUAUUUUAUUUAUAUUUAGAUUAGAAUUAUGCACUCAUAAUAUACAGAUUAUUUAAAAUUUUAAUUUUAUUUUUAUAUUUGAUCUUAAUUAUUUCCACUGAAUUGCCUAAAUAUGAUGAAUAAAGGGUUGGAUUUGCAAAAUUAUUUACACAUUUUAAUUUGUUGAUCGCCAUUUUCUACUGUAUCAUCGACGUUCUUCCUUCCUCCAACCAUUUCCAGCACUAACAUACCAAAGCUGUAAACAUGUGAUUUACAGGAAACAUUCCCGAAGUUCCUCGAAAACACUUUUAUCCUUGGAACACGUUUAUUUUUAUAUUGAAUCAUUACUUUUUUCCCGUUUUAUUUAUUGUAAAAAUAAAAAUAUAGUUCCAUAAUAUUUAUAAUUAUUCUAUUCUCAUUGAAUCAUGGUAAAAAUAAUUGGCCCGUGGCGCGACAUCCUAAGUAGUCUUAUCUAUAAACAUAUCAUGUUAUGCCACGUACUCAUUUAAAGCUUGACACAUUGGUCAAUUAUUUUAUACUGAUUGGGACGUUUAAGAGCCGGUCAAUUAUUUUAUAUUUCAGUGUUUUGUGACAUUAACAAUGAAGUUACUGAUUGAAAUAUUAUUUGUAAUUUGUUUUUAUGAUUUAAAAAUAUUUUUAAAAUUUUAAAAUUUAUUUUUUUUACUUCAAAUUAAUAUAUAUUUUAAUAUUUUUAAAUUAUUUUAAUGCACUAAUAUUAAAAAUAAUUUUUAAAAACUAAAAAAAUAUAUAUUAUUUUACUAUAUUUUUAAAUAAAAUAUUUUAAAAAAUAAUUAUAAUCAAACUUUCAAAUAAACUCAUAUAGUUGCUUUCAUGACAAAGACAUUUCACCGUGCCGCACUCAAGUUAAUGAUGAAGAAUUGUAGGGUUCUUGGUAAUUACGCGUCAAUGAGUUGUUUGUGUCCCCAACAUUGGAGGUGCCAUCAUAUUUUAUUUCUUUUUCUUUUUUAAAGAUGUGAGCACGAUAACAUGUGAUUAUUGAAUUGUCGCUGCUGUUUCCUUAUUAUUUUUGAUAUUUUAUUUUUAUUUUUAUUUUUAUUUUUAUAUUUUAUAUCAAGAUUUUAUUUAUUUUCAGUUUUAUUUUUUAAUUAUAAUUUUUUAUAUUUUUUAUUUCAGUUUUUAUUCUAUUAAUUUUAAUUUUUUAUUUGAUACUUUUAUUUAAAAUUUUAAUCGCUUUCAAUAAAGUUUGUCGGUGGUCAGACACACCGACGCAACCUGUGGUUCAACGACAAAAAUAUAUGGUCUUUCUUUUCUGUUUUUUUCCGUGAUCCGCUACCUUUAAUUUCUUUCAUAGCUGAUCUUUCCCCCAUGCUUACUCAGGUCCAUAAAGUUUGGCUUUUCCCUUUUUCGUAAAAAUACAUAUUUCAUCUUAGAAAAAGAUAAAAAAAAAAUAAUAAAGCAUGCAUUUGAGGUAUUUUUUUUUUCUUUUACACUGAUCAUUUUGUAAUUAUCAUGAUAAUGAGGGAUAUUUAUGUAUUUUUACAUUGAAAUUUUAGUUUUUUAAUUAAAAAAAUUGAUGGCAUGUAUACAUGAUGCACCAAUGAGUUGGUGGGGUCUAUACCAUUUGAAUGACGUGUGUGAUAUUUUUUUGUAGCCGAACUUGACGUUCCAACGUCUCUUUAAAAGUGACAUCAAGUUCUACUUUUUAUAGUGUGGCACGUGAUGAUAUAUGGUUGUCGGAUUGUCCUUUUAUUUUUUGUAUUUUAAUUUUAGUUUUAAUUUUUUAAUUUUGUUCUUAUUCUUUAUAUAAUGAUUUUAUUUAUUUUUAAUUUAAUAUUUUAAUUAUAAUUUGUUAUAUGUUUUUUUUUAUUUCAUUUCAAUCUUUUAUUUUUUUUAUUAAAAUAUUUUUUGAUUUCAAUAAAAAUUUUAAGUGGUAAGACACUCCGCAGCAACCUGUGCUUCAACGAUAAAAAAAUAUGAGUUCUUUUUUUCUUUUGUCAUUGGUUCUCGAGCCACAAAACAAAGAAUCUUUUUCCUUAUGGAAGCAUUGGUCCACCACUCUUAAAUUAUUUCACAGCAAGACUUUUCCCGCAUGCACCCUCAGGUCAAAGAUGAAGAAUAUUUGUAGGGUUCUUGGUUAUUCCUUCUUGUCGAGAAGCUUGUGCCUUGUAGCAAUCUUUCACGGUAUUACAAGGAUGAAAGAAGAAGGAUUAAUGCCAACCUAUUCAUCUCGUUGUUGAUCAACAAGGAAGGAACUUGAUAGAAAUAGACCCUUGAUAUUACUAUCCUAUCCAUCAAAAUCCUUCUAUCCUCCCUGCAAUUCCUUCCAAAUUAUGAGUUACAUUGAUUUUCUUCGCAAUUGAAGUAAGUUAGACAGGAUUGCCUAAAUAUGAUGAAUUAAUAAAUGGUUGGAUUUGCAAAAUUAUUUACACAGUUUAAUUUGUUGUUUUGAUACAUCUCAAACAUAUUAGACCGAUAAGUUUACACAUAAUCCAUGAACGUAUCUCACAGGUCACAACAAUUUCCUUCGUUAUUGCUCACUAAUAUUUAUUACUGAAAAGAGUAACUUAACAGUGGUCUCUAGGGUCUUUUCUAGAUGUUUUGGGGCAGUUUAUUGGGGUUUUUUGUGGCCAUAAAUUAACUUUAAGUGAUGCCUAAUCCUUUGAUCUCCCACCAACAAUCUUUUAGCAAUAUUUUGUUGAAAACGUGUACCUCUGAUCUUACAGUUUUGUUCUUAGUUUUAUUGUCUUUAUUUGUAUUCUAUCAUUUGAGUUUUCAGACUAGUAGGUAAACAUAAAUGCUUCUAGCAACAAUUUCUCUAAGUUUUUUUUUUUAUUGAAUCUAUGAAGAGAAUUUCAAGAAUUUAAUUACAAAUUUAUAUAAACUCUUGUAUUAAAACAAUCAAAUUAUAUAAAAUUAAUUUUGUUAUUAAUACUGUGUUGAACUCAGAAUUUGUGAUCUAAAUGGUUAAUUUGACCAUGGUUUUGAAGAGUUUUUUUACCUUUUUUGAUCCAUAAAAUCCAUAUAUCCAUAAAAUCUUCUAAAUGAAUAAAAAAAGAAAAGAAAAGAAAAGAGAAGAGAAGAGAGGAGAAGAAAGAAAGCUAAGCCUUACAACUGGAAGAGACAUUAUCUGCACUGGCGUUGUAGACUGUCGAAAUUCUGAAAUGUUAAUUUCUAUGUAGGAGGUAAAUAGCAUAAAUAAAUAGCAUGACAUCAUACCUUUACUAGGAGGUAAAGGUUCCAAUACCACAAAUAAACAACAAAAGUAUAAACAAAAAGUAAAUUUAAAAUUUUUUAAAAUAUUUUUGAACCAGAAAUACAGACAGUUAGUAUUGCAUUGACAUGGUCUAGAUGAUGACUUGCCAAAAUAAUUUUCAAUUGUCGAUGCUCCAUAGAGUGUUUAAGGCACAAGCCACUCUCUCCCAGUGAAGCAAUGAUUUUUAGUCCAAGUUAUCAUGUGCGUGCUUGAAGUUUUUUUGUCCCGUAAUUGCAGCAAAAUUUGAAUUUUGCACCUAAAACGAUCGAUAGCAAAAACAAUCUGUAAUUUUUCUUGCAAAGAUCUGUAAAGUAAUUAUAAGAUCUGGACUUGGAUUUAGAACUAGAAAAAUCUUCUAAAUGAAUAAUAGAAAAGAAAAGAGAAGAGAAGAGAAGAGAAGAAAGAAAGCUAAGCUUUACAACUGGAAAAAACAUUAUCAGCACUGGAUAAAUAUGAAAUGUUUAAGUUAAGUUGAUGCUGAAAUUCUGAAAUGUUUAUUUCUAUCACUCCUUACAUAAAUUGCGUGACGUCAUACCUUACUAUGAGGUAAAGGUUCCAAUACCAAAAUACAAAACAAUCCCUAGAAAUCAUAAAAUCCUAAUUUCAUCCCCGGAAUAAUAGCAAAGACUAGAAAUCAUGGAACAUGCUCAACUGUGUUCAACAAACUUUCAGGAUCUACUUCAAUUUUCUUAAGAGAACGGGAAAUAGUGAUCGGGAUCCUCGUUAGCUGCGGGCAAUCACCCACAGUAAUUUCUUCGAGAGAAUCGCAAAGAAGUCUUCCAGAAUAAAUGCUAUUCAAAUUUGGUAAUUUCUUCAAUACCAAAACCCUCAAUUUAUCAAAUCUACGAAAAGGAGAGGAAUGCUCAUCACUUCCCAUUAUCUCCUGCAUGUUGUAACAAUCUUCGACUACAAUCACUUCCAAUCGGGCAGUGAGACAACAACCAAGGAGGGAGCAGCACCUUCAUCCUAUGACAUUUAUGUAUCACCAUCUCUCUGAGAUUGAAAAAGACUACUUCUGAAGGGCUUCAAAAAGGUUUCUAAGAUUAUCAAACCAUCAAGGUGUAGAAUCUCAAGCCUCCUCCAAAUACAUAUGAUGGACAUAAGCUUCUCAUGUUUUGACAACUCACAAAAACUACUUUUGUAAUGAAGCACGGGGGCAGAGAUUGCAUUGUCAAUCAUGAGGUCAUAAAACCAAGCCUCUUUAAUUAACCCUGACUUCGAUCUUGUAUAAUUUAGAUCUUCGAGUGAAGAGAAACAAGGUCGUCCUACAGUAACCUUGCAUGCAAUUAGUGAAAAUCUCCGUCCAC
Molecule: long non-coding RNA, 56980 nt
Filed under: Populus tremula
Lineage: Eukaryota; Viridiplantae; Streptophyta; Magnoliopsida; Malpighiales; Salicaceae
Description: long non-coding RNA (PTRE_LNC001423)
Source: RNAcentral